Molecule: non-coding RNA, 47711 nt
Organism: Xyrichtys novacula (pearly razorfish)
Lineage: Eukaryota; Metazoa; Chordata; Actinopteri; Labriformes; Labridae
Source: the annotation of a GenBank genome assembly
GCCAAAGUGCGAAUCACAGUCAACGCAAGUAUCGUCUCAACGCCAAUUUCUACACCACCUCCUGACUUUGCAUUGAUUAGCGCUGGAACCGACGCUCGUUUCGCGAUGAUAAAUCUGGACGUGUGCGCCGAUUUUGGCGUACGCAAGGUUUUCUUGCGCCGCAAGCGUUGAUACAUAAGGCCCCAGGUCAUCUGCCGCAGCACUCCAUCACUCUCCUUCUUGGUCAAAUAGCCCUUACACAGCCUGGAGGUGUGUUUGGGGUCAUUGUCCUGUUGAAAAAUAAAUGAUCGUCCAACUAAACUCAAACUGGAUGGGAUGGCAUGUUGCUGCAGGAUGCUGUUGUAGCCCUGCUGGUUCAGUGUACCUUUAGUUUUGAAUAAAUCCCCAACAGUGUCACCAGCAAAACACCCCCACACCAUCACACCUCCUCCUGCAUGCUUCACAGUGGGAACCAGGCAUGUAGAAUCCAUCUGUUCACCUUUUCUGCGUCUCACAAAGACACGGCGGUUGGAACCAAAGAUCUAAAAUUUGGACUCAUCAGACCGAAGCACAGAUUUCCACCAGUUUAAUGUCCAUUACUUGUGUUUCUUGGCCCAAACAAAUCUCUUCUGUUUGUUGCCUCUCCUUAUCAGUGGUUUCCUAGCAGCUAUUUGACCAUGAAGGCCUGAUUUGCGCAGUCUCCUCUUAACAGUUGUUCUAGAGAUGGGUCUGUGGCUAGAACUCUCUGUGGCAUUCGUCUGGUCUCUGAUCUGAGCUGCUGUUAACUUGCGAUUUCUGAGGCUGGUGACUCAGAUGAACUUAUCUUCAGAAGCAGAGGUGACUCUUGGGGCUCUAUUUUUGUUCCUCGCCAGCGACAUGCUGUAGGCGCGGCAUAAUUCAGGUCUGCCGCACCGACAAGUAGUGCCCAAGCACAUUUUGGUAUUUUGGUGAGCAGUGCAGCCUGGCGUAAGUAUCCCCCCUCCCUAACUCAGCUCCUCCCAACGGCAUAAGUCGUAAAGAGGGUGUGGAGUGGGUUAAACAUAGCCGAGACCUGUUUUCGCCAAUCGGAACCACUCCUCUCUUCACCUUUAAAUCCGCCACUGGCGAGGGGUAAUACAAUUUUCGUGAAGUAGUCAAAGAGAUCAAGAGAUGUCUGAAGACAGCAAUGCCACACGAUGGCGACAGAAGGCACUGUAAGCGCUGCAUUGGGCAUCCUGCACGCUCUCUCAUAUAAGCACAGAUGGAUUUGGUUUGUGUAAUGUUGAGCCAAUGGUAAGACAAACACCCUUUUCCACAAAUAAAGACACUCACAUAAAGUUGCAUCUAUUUAAACCUCACAUGACGAAGGUGAGUUGUGUGCACAGAUCACAACAUAAACUCCAAAAAUGGCAUUAAAAUCAGAACCAUCUGUGCAUAAAUGACGCAUCACGUUCCGUGGCCUGGCUCUUUCUUUUAUAGAUGUUGGCAUAUAAAAUAAAUUUGGCUCACAAAACUGAAUAUUAUCAUAUUCGUAUGUAGGCUUCAAGUAAUAACUCAUCUGAGCACUGAAACAAAUCAUCUGUUCAGUCGCAGCAGCAACAGUACGGGGAGAGGACACAGAGACAUGUCCAGGUCGAGCUGCGCAAGAAAUAAGAGGAAGAGGAAGAUAGACAUUUAGGGGAGACAAAUUAAAUAUCUUGUUAACUUCAUCAUGUGUGUCUAUUUACUAGAUAUUUAAUUUAAUCUAAUGCGGUUUCAGCUGUGUUGAUUCGGUCAGGUUGUGUGUCCAAACGCGUGCCAAACACACUCUUUAGGUCAGAUAUAGAUCGGAAUAUAUCUAUAUAGAUCUAAAUGUAUGUGCUGACUCAGAUUAUUUGUUGAUGUUGAUUAUUUAUUGCACUGAAAUGUGCCUGAAACUGUGGAAACCUGCCGCUGAGGCAUCUGUGACGUAAGCGCGCUACGCCUACCGGUCUGCAAAAAUACCACUAGACCAGCUGCGCUCUGCCUGCGCUGAAAGCUGACUGGGUUUGAAUCGGCGAGCUUUCAGGGCACUUACUAAGCCGCCGGCGGGCACAAAAAUGUCAGUGCGCCAGCUGAUUCUGUCGACACCUCCCUCUGCCACGCCACCACACCCAGCUUGGCAGACCUUGGUGCACCUCAGUCUACGAAAAACCAAACUGGCUGUACACCAGGCUCCGCCAGACAAAAAUACUACUGGACAGGGUCUGCCACCCUCCGCCGCGUCGCCAGCUCACACAAAAAUAGAGCCCUUGGUGUUCCUUUCCUGGGUCGGUCUUCAUGAGUGCCGGUUUCAUUGUAGCGGUUGAUGGUUUUUGCGACUCCACUUGGGGACACAUUUAAAGUUUUUGCAAUUUUCUGAACUGACUGAUCUUCAUUUCUUUAAGUAAUGAUGGCCACUUGUUUUCUUUAGAUAGCUGAUUGGUUCUUGCCAUAAUAUGAAUUUUAACAGUUGUCUAAUAGGGCUGUUGGCUGUGUAUUAACCUGACUUCUGCACAACACAACUGAUGGUCCCAAUCCCAUUGAUAACGCAAGAAAUUCCACUAAUUACCCUGAAAAGGCACACCUGUGAAGUGAAAACCAUUUCAGGUUGUCUACCUCUUGAAGCUCAUCGAGAGAAUCCCAAGAGUGUGCUAUGCAGUAAUCAGAGCGAAGGGUGGCUAUUUUGAAGUAACUAGAAUAUGAAACAUGUUUUCAGUUAUUUCACCUUUUUUUGUUAAGUACAUAACUCCACAUGGGUUUAUUCAUGAAUGUAUACACUACCCUUCGCAACCAGGUCAGCUCCUCCUCUCCCCUCCCUCUCUGCUCCAACAAGCCCCGCCCACAAACAGAUGCUCGUGCUUGCUCAUAUUGUUCAUAUAAUGUAGAUAAAUACUUCAGAUGAUUGCAAAUGGGGUACAGUCAACAUGAAAGUAAAAAGCAUUGGUACUACUGUAGAUGCCAACAGACUACCAGCAAACACAAUGUUUGCAGGACAACUAGCAUGAAGUGACACCUUGGGUCAGGGGAGCAGUGGUGGAGGAGUUGCCGUUUAUGUUGAUGAAUUGUUGGCGAUUUUUGAGGUAUGAUUUAAACCAGGAGAGGGCAGUGCCAGUGAUGUAGAUUAAGUCAUGAAGACGGGAGAGGAGGAUGGAGUGGUGGAUGGUGUCAAAGGCAGCUGUGAGGUCCAGGAGAAUCAGGAUGCUAUGUUUGGGAUGGAACCGGAUUGGAAGACUUCAGACCCACUUCAACUCCAACAGCCUCUUUGAAGUUGAGAGGCAACAGCACGUUCUAAGGGGGUGUUCAGACCAAACGCGACGUCGGCAACGGCUCCCAAUGCAAAGUCUAUAGACAGCCGCGACCUGACGCGACUUGGUGACCGCCGGCUGCCUGCGAUGCGACCUGACGCGACUUGGCGACCAGGUCGCGCAUGGUCGCCAAGACGCGUCGCCGAGGUCGCGUCGUCGAGGUCGCAGGACGCCAAGUCGCGUCGCUCCCAAAGUUCAAAUAUUUGAACUGUGCCUCCUGAGGCCGGCCGGUCAAUGGCAUUGGAGGAGGCCAAGGCUUCGGCCGCCGGGCUGCCCAUGGUUCCGGGAGAUCCUUCGGUUGCCUGGGAAGGAGCUACGGUGGUUUCGUCAGCUGGCAGGUUGGAUGAGGAGGCCGCCUUGCUGCCGGUCGGUGUCUGGACCGGGCUGUCAGCUUCAUUGAUGGUGGCCUGGGCCGGGUUUGUGAGCCGGGAUAUGGGCAGCUGGAGAAAGGUCGUGGAGCUGCUGGGAAAGGCCGGGCGGGGUGGGGAGACACCAUGGGCAUUUUGUUUUUCGUUUUUACCACAGAUUACAACCUCGGACCACGUUGGACGUGCAGUAGUAGAGGUGGAUGAAGGCCAGGGGCUGUUGGGGUCCCAAGGUAGCAUAUCGUGGAGGGAAGCCUGGAGAGAGACGAGGUGGCGGGUCUGCUUGAAGGCGACACCCAUGCAGGCGGUGAGUAGAGCUGAUUUGGCUUUCAGUUCAGCAGACAAUCUGCAAAUAUCCUCUUUGAGACAAGUGUUUGUGGCAUUUGCCUUGUCCAGUUCAGAUGUAUGGAGGGGGAACGUGGAGGUGGAAGAAGCCAUGAUGGUGGUAGAGUUUAAACAACUGAGUAGGCCCAGUAGUUUUCCUCGGUGGCGGCUCUCCGGUGUCCUCAAGGUCUCCUUCCUCCAUUUGCAACCUUGGACUCAUCUUUGAUACCCACCUCACUUUUGAACAACACAUCAAACAGGUCACUAAAUCAGCCUUUUUUCACCUCAAAAACAUUGCCUGUCUUCGCCCAUCUCUCUCCCUCCCUGCAGCAGAAACCCUGGUCCACGCCUUCAUCACCUCAAGGUUAGAUUACUGCAACAGCCUCCUGUAUGGUCUACCCUCCAAACUCCUUAACAAACUACAGAUAGUCCAGAAUUCUGCCGCCCGCCUCCUCACCCACACCCACUCACGAGACCACAUCACCCCUGGCCUCCUCCGUCUACACUGGCUCCCCAUCAAGCAACGCAUCACGUUCAAGAUCCUCCUUCUCACCCACAAAACCCUUCAUCAUCAAGCCCCUUCUUAUCUCACCGACCUGCUCCAGCCUCAUGCAUCCCUCCGUAACCUCCGAUCCUCCUCUGCCCAUCUCCUCACCCCAAAAUCAUGGCCCAAGCACCGAACCUGGGGGGAUCGGGCAUUCUCCACACCUGCCCCUACCCUCUGGAACUCCCUACCACCCUCCAUCAGACACUGCCCUGACCCCACUACCUUCAAAACCCUUUUAAAAACUCACUUAUUUAAAAUUGCUUCUAAUAUUUAACUGUUUUAUUUUACUGUUUUCAUGUCUCUGUUUUAUUAUCUUGGGUUUUACGUUCUAUGUAAAGUGGCUUCAAGUGUUUUUAAAAGUGCUGUACAAACAAAAUGAAUUAUUAAAAAAAAAAAAAUGAUACUCCAAGACCCGAGGUAAACAGUUUAGGUGCGCUACAACACGCAGCAGGUCUCGUUCGACAAGAAACACUUUUGUUACACUUGGCUUACUUUGUUAAAGCGGUUUACCUGUCCAGUAGAAAGGUUACAGGGUCUGUAAGAUCCUGAGGUGUCCCCUAUCGUUUAUGCUGAUGUUGCUGAUCUUAGCUCUUGUCAGUCUACCUAUGUUUUAAGCGCCCGUUAUUCCUCUAGAGUCUCCAGUAUUUACUUUGUUUUAUUGCUUGUGUUUUCCGUACUGUCCAAUGUUGUGGCACACAAACUUUUUUUGGGCUCAUGCAUGUAGUCUUAGGACAUGGAGCAUGCCUCACAACAUGAGGAAGCAGCAUCUGUCUCACAACCAAUCAGGUUGGGGGAGGUGGAGAAUGGCUUUAUUUACAGUCAGAGAGAGCGGGCCGCUCAAAAGUUUUAAAAUGUUGACUACAAAGACAUAACAAAACACAGCGAUAUUGUUAUAUAACCAAAUGUCAUCAACAACUAAUAGCUAUUGACUGAGAUUAAAAGCUUUCUGUAUAUACACCACAGAAAAAGACAUUUCUUUAACAGAUUCCUGCCUACCCCACCUUGAAGUUAUUUUGAGUGCCAUCACAAUACUGCAGCAUGGUUACCUGAUUCCCCAUACUCUAGGGUGGUAGUGCAUUAUCACAGAAUGUGCAUGUGUUAAUCAUGCAUCAAGAAAUUAGUGGUGUUUAACAGAAUUUGUGUUCACUCGUAGUUGUGGUAACUUUAACAUCACUAAUACACACGUGUUAAUCAUGCACCACUCUUUCUCUGAGGACGGAUAGCUGACAUUUCUUGCAGCUCAUAUGUUUUUGCAACAUUUUACACCACCAGGUGCAUUAUAAAAUUAGGCUUUAAUGAAAAAUGUGUUACAUGAUGAUGCAGGAGACAGGUAAGCCUGAGAUUUAAGUUCUUGUGCUGUUUGAUUAUCAAUCUAGAUUGAAUCAGGCAGGAUUUGGUGAAGAAUAACCAUCAAUGCCUAUUUUCAGAAAGUAAAAAUCAUCCUGGACAUUGAAAGUCUAGAGAUUAAACUGUUAUGUUUGAAUUAUAGUUUUAGAUACAUUCAAGUUGACAUUAAUAAACUGAUAUCAGCAUCAGAUAAGGGGUUUUCACUAAAUGUCAAGAUCUAUAAAGUUAUUAAAAAAAAAUUAUUUAUUUUUAUGACAAUGGACAUUGUAAUUAGUACAUUGAUGUUGAAUGCAUUUUGAGCACAGUGCAGAUAUAUGAAGAUGAUUGCAGCAGCUCUGUUUUGAGACGAUUUCUGUAUGUAUAAUUUUAAUGAAGUAGUUCUGAGGAUUCUUAUAUGGCUGCACAUCCAGCAGCUGUUUGAUCCCUCAGCUCCCUCCUCUCUGCUCUGAUUUAACACCUCUGACACAACUCAUGUUUCUAAAGUUCACACAACACUCUAUUUAAAGUCAUAAGAAAUGUUGGGCUGAAGCACUGAAACGAGGAAGAGAAAAGCCUUCAGUUCAGUGGAGGAAAAAUAAAAAAAUACUGUGAUGUAACUUAAUGAAGACAUCCUCAGCCGGAGAGCGGCUCUGCAGAAAAGGAGUGAAGUAUCACCUCAGCAGGAGGAAAGUGAAUCAACAACACACCUACAGAACAAAGAGAGUGGAGUGUAUCGGUUCAUCUAUCAACUCCAUCUCUCUCUCUGUCUCAGGCAGAAAAACCAUCAGUCACAUUUUCAAACAAUACUCUCUCCAUCUUUGUCAUCGGGCGCUGCACAACUACUUUUCUUCGAACGUCUUCAGAGAAAUCUGUGCAGAGAGAGCAAGAGCUGCACUCCUGGGUCAAUCUCAGAGAAAAAUGGCCAGACUGGCGGUCUUGGAGGUUUUACUUGAGGAAGCUGGUCCCUCAGUGCCCCUGCUGUGUGAAGUUAAAUUCUGAGAAGUGAGGUAACUGUAACACAAAGAGAACGUCGACAUAUUGAUGCUGCAGAGGCUUGCUAGAAAACAUUGAUUCAGAGGGUGUGAAGACUUCUAGGUGAAAAGAGCUUCUAUAAAAGUGCCAUGAGUCAUUGUGGUUAUCGCUCAGCUAUGAGUCUGUGACUGAGCAGAGGCUGUACACACAGGUUCACAUACAUAUACCAGCCAGCUCCUAUACAGUAAAGUAAAAAUGAACAAAUAUUUCUGCACCGAGCCUGGACCUUUACAGGCUCUAUGACAACAGGGUCUAAAUGACUCAAAGAUGCACAGGUUUGGACCUGUUCCUGUGGAUUCAUACAGAUGGCGACAUUAAAACCAAAUGGUAAUGGCCCAGUAAGAGGGAUGAAAGCAAGUCCUCUUGAGACUAACUCCAAACACAUGAGGCCUUGUUGUCCAAUAAGCACAAAGCAUUUUGGCGUGCAGUAUAAGCGUCAUGGUGUUUUCUACCUGAUGCACCAUUUCACGCCCAGAACCCACUUUGAAUCAAAAGCAUAUGAGCUUGCACACAUCAUAGCGCCCACAGGAGUCGUGGUUUUGAAUUAAGGUAUGGUCAGGCACUAUCAUGGCAUGCUGCUAUCUUGAGGCCACAGAGGAUGUCUGCGCCUUAUACUGCAGACACACCAGAGGCAGCUUUGUGCACCUGAAAAUUCACCCCCAUUCAUUUGUACAGCUAACUGACCUCUGGCUGCAAAGAGAGUUUCAGGACACUGGAUGAGACUGGCUACACUGUCCCACCAUUUUAGAGUGUUUGUUUAAUUCAGUGGAUUUUCGAAUUCAAGACAGCAGAUGACAAGGCCAAAAUAGGCAGGCGGUGUCCUGGUUGUAUCUACAUUUUUUCAGACCACCGAAAACCAACUCAGAUGUUUGUGGAGCAGUGCUUUCCUGCUAAUCAGGUGGUGCAUUGACAAAAUCAGUUAUCAGGUAUAAUCUCUAUGAUAUCUACACUUUAAUUCUUUAUUCAGUUCUGAAACUAUUUUGUUCAUCAAUUCAUGUGUCACGGAACGAAAUCAUUUAUUUCUGCAUGCGGAUAUAUUAAAGGGGGGGGGGGGGGUGAAAUUCAAAGAAAGUUAAAGGGAUAUUCCAGUGUAAAUUUAAGUUAUGGUCAAACACACCGUAACACUGAGUUAGACACCCCCUCGAGAGAUGAAUGAUGCUGACUGCUUGCGUCUGUAGUUUAACAAACUGUAGUAACGACCGCAGACAGCAAUACACAGUAGCCUAUGUCUCCAGUGCAAACCUCAACCAAAAAGCCACUCUAUAGCCACAAAUAAUGCUCAGAUCAGCACCUAACUUCAUCAACAGCACAUAUAGGGUCCCAGCCAUAGUACUAGCCAUCAAACAUCUCUUUAACUUUGCCUGGUUUCUUUAGCAAAGAGACUAAACACAACUCACAUACUCUCCUCCAGCAGCCGCUUGUUUGCGGGGGAGCCCUGACGUGUCGAUCACUGAGUGCAGUGGAGUUUUGCUGCUCAAGUAAGAAACUUUCAGUGAAGUAAUAAUAUCAUAACAAUCAUUUUGCACUGCAGACAUGGUAGUUUAUCUGCCCUACAUCUCAGUCUGAUUGCAUUUCCAUGAAGUAAUAAUCAUCAAUGUUCGACCAUACCUUAAAUUUACACUGGAAUAUCCCUUUAAGCAAGGAGUUAAAUAAAGAUGUCAGUUACAUGAUUUACCUGAUAACUUUCUUAGGAUACACAUUUAGAAUAAAAGCAUUGUUUGGUGACAGUCACUGACAACAGAUCAGGUUUUUAUUCUGAAAGGCAGAAAGUGUCACCAUGUUUUGCACUUCACACCCAGGAAGAUUCUUUGAGGUUGUGGACAGAGAUUGUCUUGAGACAAGGUCGAUAAACCUUUUAUUUUGGCCAAGAAAUGUCAAGUAUUUCACCAUUAGGAUUAGAUUUGAACCCAGACAUCAGUCCAGUAGCCCUAGCAGCUUCAUUUAGGAAGAGACGGUAAUAAAUUGGACAAAAGUCUAACCAAAAGGAGGAUAAACAUGACUGUAUUUCACCGACUGCUCCUAUUUUGUGGCUGAAACCUUUAAGUCAUCCAAGUCAGAAAUUGCCACAGGAACAGAGUAAUAGCAACACCUAGGGCACCCUUAGCCCCACCGGACAAUGUGAGGGGGGCUGACAGCCCAGAAUUCAUUGACAUGCCUCCGAGAGGUUGUUCUCUAAUAACAUAUCGAUCCAGCUGGCCUGAUAUGCAAAGCAUCUGCCAGGGAGUGUCGCUGCCUAGGUGAGACAAAUGCCCCCAGAAAACCUUCAACCUGGCUGUUGAUUAAAGGAGGUAUUAGGGCCCAUGAUUACACACAAGCAGCAUGUUGGGUAGUCCACAUCGAGCCAUGUCAGAGCCUGUCCUCAUUAGCACAUAACAUAUUACACCUCAAUGACAGUCAUUCAGAUUUUUAUCUCCUCCUUUGUGUUAAUAAGAGAAAAAUAAAGCCCCUUGAAUUAAAAGUAAAGAAAAGGCAAAGAAGCUAAAAAAAAAAGCAGUUAAAAACAUUUCUUUUUAUACUUUUUUAAACCUGCUGUAAUUAAAGCUCAAACCACAUUUUCUAACCAGACCUCAUUAAAAAGUGUUAGAAAUAAUUCAAUUUUCUGAGUAAAUCUAGAGGAUUAAGGACUCUGGAGUGGUUAAAUCAUUAGGAGGAAAGGAGAUGUUUUUGUGUUUUCUUGUGUUGGUCUGCAUAUUGAGUCAACUCUUUGAGUAAACUCUCACAAAACUUUCUGAGACAUCAACACUAAAAUAACUUGAUGUUUGCAAAGGAGAAAUGUAACUUUCUUAUUCAAGACAAUUACAGAAUGACCUUUAAAAUCAAUCCUAACAUUUUAAAUCACACAUACAAGUUUAAAAAAAAAAACAAGUUAGAGAGGAUAUAGAAUUCAUUUGUUGGGUGUUCUUGUGCUUGUUGUCCUCUUGAAGCUGUCGCUCAGUAUUCCUCUGAGAAAACCAACCCACAGAAUAAAAGCAGAGAUACUGUAAGUGGUUAAUGUCAGGCAGCACUGACGGGGAGAUUCCCUGUAAAAACACAGUCCUCUAAAGGUCAGACAUGACAUUCUACUUUAAAUGAGCCAGGUCGCUGUGGGUGAGGACUUACUUAGGCCUGGACGUUAUUUGGAAAUACCGGAGCGUACCCCCUCUGACCUAAACAUGGACGGAACAACCUUACAUUUUUAUCACUGGUUUUUAACCCAGUGGUCUAAUUUAACGUAUGAUUGGAAACAGGCAUGUUAUUUUUAUUUAAACUGGAGGAUGAUAAAGAAUUAAACAGGUGCUUCUCUGAUCUGGACAGUACUAUGGAAGACGAAAAUGAGCAGUUUAAAAUGUGCUUUAAAGAGAUUGGCAAUUCACCCAAACUGUACCUUACCUUCACCAAAAUUUGAUCCCAGUUACUGUGUCUGUCUGAAGCAGCUGUUUCACUCAGUUAAUGAGAUUCAAGAGUCUAAGUGACUACUGUGUUUCGCUGAUAAUACUAAUCGACAUCAUUUUACAUCCCUCAAAAAAUUUGUGAAAGCAAAACAACAGGAAAGUGUUUGUUAAAAAUAACUUAAUCAAGAAGAGGUGGCCUUCGCAACUUAAAAUGAGUGAUUUUAGUAAAUCAACACAAAAACACUUGAACCACUGAAAAAAGUUAUGAAAUCAAACAGUGACCGUAUGAGGAGACCAUGUACAUAUGUUUGCCACUUUACUAGACAAAAUAAAUAAAAAUGAUUAAAAAAAAAAUGUGAGUUUUAUUACAAAAAAUAGCUGCUACUUCUGUCUCUACUCCUCUACUGUUAGUUAAAGCUUUGUGGGUUCAGAGUUGACUCAAGAGUUGUUGUGUUAUCAGAUUUUCACCUCUCAGUUAUCAAGGUCAUAAAAUAUUGUGACAAUGUUAAAAUCACACAUUUUUGUGAAAACUAAAAAAAUAAAACACAAUCAGUCAGACUGGGAAAAGGCAGGACAAGGACUGAGCAACCCAUUAUUUCAUAAACUUGCUUCAUAAUUAUUGACAUAAUGCUCUUUUGAAGGGGGAUACCAUGUCCUGGCUUGUUGCUCAGUCUUAACAACUUAACUUUGAUUUUAUUUUUGUGACAAUAUGCUUCAAUCUUGUAACUUUAUACUAUAACCUGAUUAUCAGGUGCCUGUGUUCUCAUUCUCCUUUGACUUUAUUUUUGUGACACAAAGACCUAAACAAUGUUUUAGAAAUAUUUUAAAAAAUCAAAAUCUUGAAUCUGUUUGGAGAAGAUACAGCCUCAUCAAACAUUCUUUUUUUUUUAAAUGAUUUUAUUAUAUUGUGAUAUCCUUUCUGUUAUGUGUUUGGGUUGUUAUAAAACCCAUGUUUUUACACUUCAUCCAGCUGCUUAGUUAAAAUAACAAUGAGAAUGAUUAAAUGUUAAAUUGAUGUCAGUUUUAUAAAGUACUCAUUCAUUUUUUUAAAGGAAUGCUACACCUAGCUCCCUGGCAGCUGCUCCUUCUUCGUCUUCCUCUUUCACUCGCAUAGACGACUAUGACUAAGAAGUCACGGUAUUACUGCUGGCUUAUUUUAAGGAUUAUUUCAAUAUUUCCUCUUAUUUAAUCAAAAGGUAAUUACAUUGAACACUGAUUUACUGCAACAGUUCCAGUGCACACUCAUAAAUUAAUGUACUAAUCAUUCAUUUAGUUUCCAAUUUUGUUUUUAUCAUUUAGGUAUAAAAAAAGUCAAACAGUUUCAUCAACUAUUGUAUCCCCUAUAAAAGUAAACUCAUCUUUGAGCCUUCUGUUUCUUGUUUCUUAUGCAUCACUUUAAUGCCAUACAUCUAAAUGCUGAAACCAUAGACUGUAUAUACUACGCACAACUUGGUUCCGCCUUCCACCAUGUACGCACCCCACCACUUGCGCAGUAGCAUUGUGCGCAUUUGGCUGGUGAGUCACUGUGAUGCUCAGCUCAAACAGCGUAUCCCCCCAGGAGAGCUACGCAAUCCUUGUGCACCCAUAGGCUGUAUCAGGUGUCAAUCAUAGAAAACAUGAACCCCCUAAUAACUUUUAAAUAUGGAGCUGCACAGAAAAAAGAGGACUUGAGCACAAACCAGUCUAACAAUAACUAAAUGUCAACAUUACAACCAGUUGGAGAAAAAUGUAUGUUCUGUGUAAUAAAUUUCUAAAGUUUUUCCACAGCCCCAUCAGCUUUGCUGGCGGAGGUGGGAUUUAUGACCUAUACUGCAGCCCGUCACCAGAGGGUGCUGUUCUUGGAGUGGCUUCACCCAGCAAGGAGGCAGAUGCUGUCCAUUCUAUAUACAGUCAAUGGCUGAAACCAACACCUUAAAAUAUUUGUAGAUUAACUUGUGCAAAUGUUCAAUUAAAUAAAUCCCCUGAUUAUAUGCAGUGAACACAGAGUUUUUGUAGAAAUUGUAGUUUUUGUUUUUUUACAGCCAUAUCACAAAUGAUCCAUGCUUUCUCCUGAGAAGUAUUAUCUUGGGAAUAAUUAUCACAAAUCAAUGAUUUUUCUGUUUGUCUAACUUGGUGACUAUUUUUGCUUUACGGCCAACAGAAUCCUCUCCUCAAAAGCCAAACCCUGAUGAGAGAGAUCUAGUUUAUGCAGCUGUCAGAGGUUUGUCCAUUUUUUUGGGAAGUUCAGUGGAAAGCCAUUUGUCAUCUAGCUCUGGUUGACUACAAAAAAUUACUCAGAAUUCAAAUGGUCAUGUUUCAAGUUCUCAGUUUCCUUUGAUGACAUGAAGAGCAAGCAGCCAAUCUGCUGGCCCUGGCUCAGACACAAAGGCUGCUAAUUAAAAGUCUGUCCGAUCUGUAGUCCUGCUCGUAUUGGAUGGCAGAGCACAGCCCUCUGUUUUGCAUUUUGAUGUCUUCAUCUUUGUAAUUGUUGGUUAAGUCGCUCUGCAUUAUUGAUGAGCCCAUACGCUGAAAACAAAGCAAACAAUAUGCAUGCCAAACAAAUGCCCUGCAGUGCACAAUGUUCACACAGGCCUUCAGUCUAAUCACUUUUACUCGUGGUGUCUCCGAGUUAUGCACACAAACAUUUGCCUUGGGCUGUUUCAGAGUUUGACUGGAAAAAUGCCUGAAGGAGGGAACACAGAGGCAAUUACACGCUCUGUCUACAACUGUGUGUUUCUGCUCACUUUUUGGGAAUAUUCAAAAUGGCACAUGCUGUGCAACGCCUUUAUCUCUAAAGACUGUGUAUCCCAAUAAAGUGUGAACUUGUCCUAAACAAACUCUAACAGUGAGUCUGAAAACCAAACUUUUUUUAAUGCCUGUAGAAACAGAUCUACCCUGAAGUGAGCCGAAACUCUGGAGGAACAUCACUAGCCAGUUUAACAAGCAGUAUCUCACAGUAAAGUAUGUUAAAAGUUUUCAUUAGUUUAUUCAUUCACUUCGCCCUCUUUACCACACAAACCACCAUGCAGGAAAUUCCUGUUAAAGCCGGGCUACUUUUUUACAUUUCUUGGUGUGGCCAAUAAGAAUAAUUAUUGAGGUGCUCCAGUAGAUAUUUCCAUCCUGCUGCUGUAACCACUGUCUAUAAAAGAGUGGAAGUAGUCUUGGUGAUGUCCAUCAUUGGUUUCAUGGUGAUCUCCAUGUUAGAAGAGAUGCAGUCAACUCAGCCACACCCUAAUUAUGCAAAUCAAUGCAUCACUCUUGUUCUUGGUCUCUUAAAAACAGGUAAGCUUCAGAAACAGAAAUCACUCACACUGUGUACUUAUAAAACUGGUCAGACAAGGCUGUAAACUUGUUAAAGUUUGUUGUAAAGUUGUUCAUUUUAGUGAAGGCGUCAUUGGGACUUCCUUUGAUACUGGAAACAACUGCAAGAUGAUUAUCAUGUUUUUUAGCCCUUCUUCACCGCCUUCAUUUUUCAAUACUGACAGUUGCUGCUCAAGUAUUUAUUUAUUUUUUUUCCAACUGAAGGUCCAGGACUGCAACUCUGGGACUAAAUCUCUUGGACCCUUUAUUGUUGGGUCAGUAUUUGGACAUUUGCAGACACAUGCUACUCUGUUGCUCAGCUAUAGCACAGGAUGCAUUGACUGCAAUGUAAAAACCUACUUGUCCACUAAAAGUUUUUGUCACUUACUUUGAAAAUACUCUCACAAGCAGUUUGAAAAAACAAAGCUCUCCUGAUAUGGUCUUUCUCAAAGAUUUGCAUGUACUGAAAGCCAGGAGACCUAGACGACUGGGGAACCAUCGUUCCUUACACUGACGCCAUCAGACUCUUUGUAGUUCAUACAUUCUUUCCUAUUUGGAAACAAACUAACAAUAUCAAAAAGCUGCACAAAGCUUGAUCACCAUGCUAAAAGUACUUUUGAAGUAUAAAGGAAACGUUGAAAGGGCUCAGGAUAAAUAGCCUGGAAUACUUCACAGGGAAAUCAGCAACAAAAUUUCAGGGUGCAUAGGUAGAAGUUAUUUGUCAACCCUUGGAUCCAGGACAUGCAGGUAUGUCCAAAUGAUUCUCCCAUGAAGCUAAGCUCAUUCAUAUUCUGGAUAUAGGUGCAAAUAGAAAUGAAAUGCGAUGGAAAACCGAGCAAAAAUAAGCUAUUCUAGCCAUUUUUCAUAUAAAUAUGGGAUAACAUACAAAUGAAAACACUCAAAAAAGCAUUUUGCACUAUGAGGAAGUAAUAUUUUACACAAGUAGGCAAGUGGGGCUGACUCCAGAUGAGAUCAGGACUGUAUAAUGUGCCAAAUAUGGUGAUUUUCGACCUAACGUACCACACAUUUUGAGUGAUUACUCAAAAAGUUAUGAAAUGCCCAUCCUGAAACUUGCAGGGAUGCUAGUGGACAUGAUAGUCUUUCUUUAGUGUGAAUAUGAAGAAAAUUGAAGGACGCGCGUUUUUUGCUAUUUCCAAUUUAAGUUUUUGGUCUUUUAUAACUUUUUUUCUGGUCCAAUUUGGGAAAAAAUGUUUUGAACAAAAACGUAGGCCUUGAAGAGAGAUUUAAAAUGACACCUGAAUCAGCUCUCUAGAUGCCAUACUUCCAGAGAUAUGAACCAUUUUGUAACGCAUGUCAUGCUAAUUAGCCAAAAUUCCGUUAGCCCCUAUCUCACUAAUUAGAUGGCUUUGAACAAAAAUAUUUGAGCUCUGACAGUUUCUCCUGAAGGCCAAUCACUCCACCAAAUUUCAUCAAAAUUUGUGACGUGAGUGGAGAUUCUUGGUUGAAUUGACAUGGAAUGACCCAGAAUAGAGCUAUACCACCAGAUAUUACUAACUGCAUAAAAAUGAUCAUUCCCUUUGAUGAAAGUGGUCCUGGCUGAGCCAGCAUUUCCAAACCGGCGACCAUCAUAUCCUGGCUUUAAAACAUUUCUUCAGAAACCAGUGGGUAACAUCACUGAAACAACACCCUCCUGGUUUGAAAAGGUGUGUCUCUGUUGGGGAUGUCCUAACCUGAUAUUGAUAUCGGAUAUCGGUCUGAUAUCAGCAAAAAAAAAAAAGAAGAGAAUAUUGAAUUAUACCGGCCUGCAUAUUAAAUCUCCAAUAUCAGCACUAAAAUACAAGCAGUCCAUUCCAGACUCUGUUCCAGCACCUCUAUCUAGCAGCACCCAGAUCCAGCAUGCAGAGCCCACAUGAUCACAACAACAGUGUGUACUAAGGUACAAACAAAGUAGAAGGAGUAGGUUUGAUGUUGGCCGUGUGGCAGUAUUGUUCCUUUUAGUUCCGAAAAAGACAUUGUUGCAUAGUGCAAAACUUGUCAUGCACAAGUUUGUGCCAAUAUCGGAUCAAUAUUGGUAACAGCCGAUACUGAAGGCUCUAUUGUAUCGGAAGUAAAAAAGUUUCAUCGGGACAGCCCUUGUUUCUUAAUUGAGUUUUUUUAUGUAAUGAUGUUAGUCAGAUCUGUUCAGUCUAACAACAAUAAUCUGAUCCUGUCAGUGACAAAAACAAAAACUUGAAGGGGAUGUUUUUCAAUCCAUUAAUUGAAAUGGAUCCAUGGAUUGUGUUGUGGCAGGUACGGCCUCUUUCACUGCUGCAGGCUGAAGAAUUUUACCGACGUUUCCCUGGAACUGUUUGUACCUUUAAAUCAUGAAAACCCCACACUGUUUAAAAGAUUAGGUUUAGCUUUAUUGAUACCAGAAGGACCCUUUGGGAGACAUCGACAAACAGGUAAUUAAUUGGCAUCUUGUGGAAAAAAAUGUCAACAUUGUUUGUGAUUUAAAGUCUACACCUGCCUGAAAACCAGGCAGAAAGUGUUGGGAUAGUACUUUAUCUGACUCACAGCUCUUCUUUACCUUUUUUAAUACAUUAAUCUGUCUUUAAAUGCCAUCUGAGGAACCUAAAUAUGUCAUGCAAAAAGCAGGAGGUCUCGAGGGAGACAAUAGCCUUUAAAGUAAACCUUUAAGAUCGAGUAUCUGAUGGUCUUUUUCUAACCGUAGCAAAACUAACAAACAAAUGCACACAAACACUGAUACAAACCAGAUCCUCCUAUUGCAUCAGCUGCAAACCUGUUUGUGUAAGCGUUGCGAUGGAUUAGGGACUGUGCUGUAAGUUACUCGUCAUGCCUCAUGUUGGUCUGUGUGCCAAGUCAAAUUCUAUUAGUCAUAAAAAGUGACAGCGCAGCUCUGCAAACUGUGAGAGAGACUCUUAUUUAUGCGGAACAGUGGAUUAGAGCUGAUUGAUAAUUGUUUAUGCCCUCGGCGGUGGUGAAUGUGUGUAUUUCAGGAAAAUUCACCAAAGCCGGGGCUACAGAGAGGAGAAGGCAUGCGAGCCGGCAUGCAGAAGUGGGUGGUGAGUUUAGAGACGCAUAUGACACAGUAAACACACUGAGCUGCUUCCUCCCGUCCUCUGCUCCUUGCACAGAUCAAGAAGAAAGGCUGCAGAGACGAAGAAGUCUUCGUUUUAGCAAGACCAAUGAAAGGAAACAAAUUCCUGCAGUUUCUUUUAAAAGUUGUUUAUUUGGAUUUGCAGGUCUGUCGCAGAACUCAUGCAUUCAUUAAAUUAACUUUUUACUUGCAGUGUUUAUUGUCUUUGAAAUUUAAUAUAAAGUUUGCUGCAAUAUCUGAUGGUAUGUACCUCUGUUAAUUAAUGCUAUAGUCUGCUUUUAGAGUGGGGACCGAUGUGUAAAGCUGCAGAUAAGACUGUUUGCUGUUUACUUAAAACUCAUUUAUGCAGCAAAAAAAUUAAAAAACCUGGCUCAUUAAGAAAACAGACAAAGAAUAUUGAAGCAAUAAUAGAUUAACUUAGCCAAGCAAAAAAAGAGAUUUAUCAUAAAAUGAAUUCAUUAUUCAGGUUAAUAUGAAAUUCUUUUUUUUACAGCAAACAAGGGAUAAACUGUCCCUCAUUUGUUGUGAGGCUUACAAGUAGUACAAGAUCCUCUUAUUUUAUUGUCUUUUCCAGGUUAAUUUACGUUUUAUUUUAUUUAGAGAGAAAAUUUUUGAAAUUCAAGUUACUAAGAGUUUUACAAAAGAGGCAAAAUAAACCAAGAACUUCAUAAAAUCGUCUGCAGGAGCAAGGGAGGAUGAUUUCAAUUCAACAUGCAAAUUUGAAUCCUGAAAGUGACGCUAGAAGUAAAUACCACCUGCUCCUAUACCACAGAACCUGGGCACUUUUUUGCACUUGCAUCAUCUGCAACCUUAUUGGUUUGAUCAAAUGUCUGUCAAAAGCAAAGAGAUUUCCAUUAGGCUUCUGCUGGUGAGUGUACAUUAUGAUGAGAUUCCUCUGAGAUUUCAAAUAUUUAAUACCAGUUGCAUUGUGGUAUUAAGGUGCACAUCUACAACAAACAUUACCUCUUCAAGUAUUUAUUCAUAACAAAGAAGAAAAAGGAACAGGAGCCGCAGACAUUUGAAAAACUUCUAUUUCUUUUUUCUUUUACUUGUCCCAUUGACUUCAAUGCAUGUUCUUUUGCAGUUUUUCACGACUUACAUUAAGAAAAAAAUUCAUAUACAAUGGAGAAAAGUAGCAACACACCGAUCCCGAUCAAACUGCACAUUUUGAUACAAAAUUUGUCCUCCAACUCUUUAAGCUGUAGGGAUAGUAGUGAAUCAAAAUUUUGUCCAGAGGAGGAACAAGAAAAAUAAAUUAAAAAAUAGUGCCACUGGGCUUUGUCCCUUGGCCCUAAUAAAAAAGGCGAGACUGAAACAUUAAUAUAAACUUUUGGAAGUGGUUUUCCAUUGAGAAAGACAGGGCUGAAAAUAAAAACAUGUUUACAGUUUGCGUAAGAGAAGUCCCUCUUGUCUUUUAACCCACAGUUGUGUUUGUAUUUUCACUGAGAGGUACAUUUAGAGUCACUGCAGCCACUCUGCUGUUAGGGCCAAAUAACUAUCAGCUUGAUAACAAAUUACUUUAUUGUUACUGUGCUUCAUCUGCAGCAGGGGAUGUUAUUGGGCACUACCAGAACAGAAACAACAAAAUUGUACCCGAAUAAUCUGAGACCCAAAAGCAGAAAUUUUAAAAGGUAAUUGUAUUGUACUUACGCUGGUGCAGCUUGACUAUUAAGAGAGAGCACAUGUGGGUCCAAGCUGCUUCUUUCAGUGCAUUACUUAAGCUGAUCAGUCCUAAAACAUUAGGAGUGGUUAUGCUUUGCAACCACAGUUUAUUUAUAGAUAUAUUUAAGGAUUUAUUUAUUUAUGUCCAACGCUGUAUAUACCAACAUCUGCUGAUGUAUACCCUCACCCUUGCCUAAAAGGUUAUUUUUUUAAUGCUGAGAACUGUUUGAGAGUCCGGGGAGCUCUUACAGGGGAAAAUAAGGUUGAUUACUGAGGAAUAACAACAGGGGUGCUUCAGUUAUAACGUGUUGUCUCAUCUCUGUAAUAUCUAAGAUAUGAAUUCAUGCCUGAAAAGCAGCAGAUAAACUGUUUUGCUUUUUGCACAGAGGGGAAACAUUUUGUUUUUCAGUGUGCAGGAGAUGAUUCAUUAUAAUUCAGUUUGCAUAAUAGCAUAUCCACAUCACCCAUCCUGCCCCAUUUAUCAUCUCUCUGCUACUUCAGGUUAAAUGAUGAAUAACUGUGGUGACAAUUGGUGCAAAAAACAUUUAACAAAACAAAGCAAAAAACAAAAAAUCACACAUUUAAGAUGUAAAUAAAAGGUAUAUAACAGUGGGUGUUGAUCACACCUUAUAUGAGUGUUAAAAGUGGUCUCCAAAGUCAAAGUGAUUGAUUGAUUUGAAGGAUUUAACAGCUUUGGCACCUGGUGAAUCUUGGCAAAUAAGCCCAAAAGACAAUCUUUUUUAUAAGGCACAUGCAAAAGGUAAAACACAUAUAAGACAUAAACUAUAUAUAAGGCCAUAACAAGACGACAGCUCUUUGAGAAACCAUCAUCAAUGAGCUAACGUAGACAAAGAAAUACAGUUUAUGACUUAUAGACAGGAGGACAAAAACAAUGUUUGGGACACAUAUCUCUCAUAUGGGGGUGAUAAUCUGUCUUCAAUUGGACUUGACUUGGUUAAUCAAAACACUAUCAGUACAAUUUAGUAGACAGUAAAUUUGACUGUUGAAAGUCAGCAGGAUGAGAUUUCUUGCAAAGGUCCCUAUCCAAACAUGUAGAGGGCAAAACCAGUGAAGACUGUUUGUCCACGGGGGCGCCAAAUCACCAUCAAAUGAAACUCCCUGACUGGAACUUUAAAUAUCAUUAGCCUUAUUUUUCAUCUCAUUAUAUGUUUAUAUGUAUAUUUUUUUCUAACCUAUUUACAUUUGCAAUUUUAUUGAGUACCUUAUUUACAAAAAUUCCAAAAAUUUAGGUACAAAAAAUAAAUAAAUGUAUAGUAAAAAAAUAAAUAGUAAAAAUUUUCCCAUAAAUAAAGAACAGAUUUCAAAUAUUUAGUUUCUGCCUAUCUGUCCAUCUGUGUGUUCACAAUUAUUGAUAUCAGUUAUUGAAAAAUUACAGCUCUCAGUGUUUAUGUAAAAGAAUCUGCUCCUCUAUCAAUAGCUUGGUCUGAGAAAAACCUCAAAGGUCAUGAGUCGACUCCAAAUGUCUUGGUCCCUGUUGCAGCUUCAGACUUGGAAACUGAACACUGAGCCAAACCGAUGAUCAAUGUCCUUUCAGCGACAACCACCCCUCUCCACCCCACCCGCACAGACACCACAUGUGGGCGUCUUACUUCCAGCCCUCGAUCCAUACCUCUGUGCUUCUGUAUUUACAGCAGAUCAAACAUUCAGACGGAAAGAUGGCUCACAUCGAUUGGCUUGUGGGUUCACUAUUUUGAGUGGCAUUUCAUAAAUAGAGCCGCCUUGUGAAAUAGUAAUGAGCUGAUGGUGAUUAGCAUUCAACUGAAAUACGGCGUGAUUGAUUAGAUAUUCAGAUUUCAUUUGGUCAAGGUUAAAAAUGGAAGAAAAGGAUCUAAAAAGAACUCCACAAAUAAAAAGAAAGCUGAGAUUUAAUGCUGAUAUCAGUUUGAAAAAACAAAACCAGACACUGCGGAUGGGUUAUUGUUGUAGAAAUGAGGUUGGUUUUUCCUUCCUCAGCCGAGUGGCACUCAGUCAGAAGAGACUUCCAUAGAGAGUAAAAUAUCUGUCCAUGAAUACAUCUGCAGGAUAAGGGCAGAAAUAUGUACUUCUCCAAAGAAUGAAAGGAUUAUCUUAGUCGGUCUGAUCUCAUGUUGUUCCAUAUUCAGAGGGUUUGGAGGAGAAAAGCUCAGAUUUUCCAAUUUGAUCCUAAAAUUCAACAUUCUGCUCGGAUGAGGCUAAAUCCUGAGGUGGAAAUCCAGGUACCACAAAGGUGUGAACAUCCGGGAAUGGAAUACUAGGAGGAAAUGUUGUAAUAUUUAGAAACUUUGAACAGGUACUCACUCACUGGUACCAUCAGUUUUAGAAAAAAUCACGUGUUAGAGUCUUCCAGGCUUUUGUUACUUUCCAUAAGUUUUUAUUAUGACUUGUGUCAUACAAGGAUUGUAACUUCAUGAGGCUUUUUCUGACUUUGCUCUGUGAUAGCUGUGGUAUUUUAAGCCCCUGUGAGACGACAAAAUAAAUGAUUUCCCUCUGUCAUUCUUUUUAUACCUAAUACUACUCUAAGGUGAAAGGUAUCAGGCCACUCAAUAGCCACUAAAUUUGACUAUCUUUGAUUGAGUCCCUGAAGACCCCAGAGUUUCUCUUUGCCACCAGUCAAUUCAGACUAACUGCCCUUAUCAGAAAAGGGGCUGAGCCACAUAUUAAGGGCAAAGUACCAGGUUGGAUUGCAGAUACUUUUCAGAUCCCCUGGCGACUUAUUUUCAAAAAAGUGCCUAGUUACUAUUUUGAGUUGCUAAAAUUGGAGUUUGGAGACUCUGACAUGAAGGCAGGUAUCAAUGUCACUCUUCUCAAAACGGGUAGCAGGUGUGCAUCAAAAACACACCCUUUUCUAAGACUUGAUUCAGAACCAGUAUGGUGAUCAUUUGAACUUGAAUCAUGUUUAAAACGUGUAUAGAUUAUAGAUUUUACUUUGUAUAUUUUCUUGAUUGUCUUUAAUGCCAAUAGAUCUAAACUGCAGCAUUCUUGCUACUCUGGCAUCUUUACAACUUGUAGUGCAAAAGUCAUGUUCAUCAACAUGUUCAAUAAGUUUCAAACAAAAAGCUAAAUAUAUAAAAUUAGACAAGAGAAGAGGAUUUUAUACCUACAUAAGACAAAAGAAGGAGUACUACGAAAAAAAAUAUCGGUCAGUAAGAGGAAUAAAACUUUAUUUACUGAUUGUGUGAUUAAAAACAUUUUAUCCUCUGCCUCAUCUUGCAGGGAGUGGCCAUAUUUUUCAUUUUCUGCUAUUUCAUCACAUUUCAAGUUUUUCUUUGGUGAUUUCCGAAAGCACUGACAUAUAUCCCUUCAGAGGUGCAAAACCUUCCCCAUGCUAUAAAAAAAUCGAAUAACUAAAGGAAAUAAGAAAGCUAAAAUGCUACACUGUACUAGAAACAUUUGCUAAAGUUUCUGUAAACUUGAAGGCAUUCAUCAUUAUCAUUUGUUGUUUAUAGUUCUUGUGUAUUAAAUUUGUUUUGUGUGUUAAUGUACCUUUUUAUUGUGCCAUUUCAACCAAUUCAAACUUCAUAUAAUCAAUUCUGAGUCCGAUGUUCCUAACCAUGGAGAAAACAAUAAAUAUUGCAAACCUGUGUCCAUGCUGCUUUUCCUUCAGUGCACAUGCAGCUUUAAGGACCAAGGACACAGCUCAGGUAGUACACACUUAGUAUUCUGAGGCUGCGUGCAGAGAGAGAUUGCACCUGUACAGGCUGUUAGGUGAUGUCUGUGUCACUUGGAUGACCAGAAUCUGUAGCCGAGCGUUUCCUUGAGCUAUGGAAUUGGUUGUCUCGGGAAAAUCUGAUUAGUCACCGCUGACAAUGCAGAGACAAGGAAAUUACUUUCUUGUGCAUAUCAUUACGAAAAAAUCAAUAUGACGGAUGUGGUGGGGGCUUGGGCUAUUUAUUGUGGCUGAACUCAGGGCCAGGCGGCCUCUCUUUGCAUUGGCCUCUUGUUACUGCUUUAAUUUGUUCUCAAGACAAAAAGAAAAAAACUUGAAAGAGCUGGAGGUGCAUCCUGAGGUGCGUGCUGCAGUGUCCGUACGACUGUAAAACCACCGUCUUAUCCCACUGCGUGUCUUAAUUACCUGAAAAUAAAUCUGCUCAGGAGGAAAUGCGAGUGGUGCUUCAAGGUGAGACCUCCUCACACUCGUCUCCUUAAUGCUCUCAUUAUCGGCACCGGUUUUAAUUCAAGGUUCACACCACAAUGCCGCAGAAACAGACAAGCAAGUUCAAUUAAAAAAAAAAAAGACAAGAAAAGAAAAACCUCUUAGCUUCUGAAAAGUCUCAAAGGUCAGCCAAUUCAAAAAUCUGCUCCUCAAAGUGAGAGGUUGUAGCAAGAGGGCACAACAGGAAUAAGUAGACAGAGAGAUGAGCUAUUCAGAGCAAUUUUUGGCUGUUUUGAAUAUGUGCUCUUGUGGCUUAAGGCUUUCAGAGCCUGCCUCUAGUGGACACUUAAGUCACUGCAGUUUUGAGCACUGAAGCUUCACCUCUCAAGACCAGAGGUUACUGAUUGGAUUAGGAUUCUUUUCUACGUACUCUUUAUUAUGAUUGAAAAAAAAAAAAAAAACAAUAUUAGCUGCUUUACUGCCACUUCCUGGGCUGUUGGAAGCAAGCCUUUUUAGACAUGUAGACACUGAUUCUUUUGAAAUUCGGACAUCCUCAAAAUUCUCAAUCUUUGAUCAAAAUUUAAGAUUGAUGUCAUACCGAGGUCAGGCUAUAUGUUUUUCACACAAUUAGGGUUUUGGGCAACAUUAGCCCCCAAAAUCGUGUGUUGUUUGUAAUAGUAAACAAUAGCUAAGGCCACUUAUCCAACAGAGUGAGUUUUUUUCUCUGUCUUUGUUGAUUUUUCCUGUCACACAGGUGGUUAGGGUAUCAACCAAUGAGUGUACGGACAGCUUUGAAGGUGCAUAAGUCCAUGAAGAAAGAAUGACAAGUGCUGGGAGAUGGAGCUGUAAGACAGAGAAAUGUUAGUUGCGCUCUAAUGCUCUGGGAUUAUCUCAUCUGACAAUGACCAUCCUAACAAAGAGAAGAACCCUGUAGUCUGACUUUGGCAUAAAAAAACUGAUUUACUGUUUACAACUACACAGCUCCACGUUUUAGAAACCUUUAAGCUUGGAAACAGUGUGGAUAUACCAUCAUUGUGUAAAUUCAGAGUUCAGUUUUGAGUGCAAACACUUUUUUAAAUGACACACAAGCCCACAGUUAGCCUCUGAUUGGGUUGUAUCAGAAAUGACAUGUCCCAUCAAGUCCUGUGAUGUUUCUCAUUCCCUCUGCGCCUAAGUCUUUAAUUUAGAUUAGAGGUGUCUUGAAGAAGUUCUGUUCAUGUUUCUCGAAACUUGAAUCAGUUUUUGCACUCUUUUCUGACAGAGUGUUAAAUGUUUCUAAUAAACUGGAGAAAGAACACAGGGUGAAACCCUGCUAUUAUCAGCACUGGAGGUGGGAUUGAAAGCUGGCUGUGAUCAGCCUCCGACGGUGUGUUUUCACUGUGAUUUCUCUCAGUAGAGGAGCAUGUGGAAUCAGCGUGAUGAAGAUGGUGAAGUUUGUGUGAGGUGAUAGAGCAAACACUUUACUACUCCAGUAUCCUUGUGUUAAAAAGUCUCUGAAAGUUUCAGCAGAGCUCUCACUGGUUUCCUGCAGUAACAGUUUGGCAACCAGCCUCUAGAAAGUGCUCAUGGUCUCACAGCAGAUUUUGUCCCUUUAAAAGACAGUCUGCUGGAGAGUUGAAUGGUUUGGACUACUGUAUGGUGCUGUUACCAGCAUGUAUAAAGAUAGUGUAUUUAAUUGUAUUGAAGUCACAGCAUUGUCUUACACUAUUUGUGUUAAUGUUUUUCUAAAAUUUUAAGUUGUCCCUUUUCUGCCAAAUUCCUUUUAGAAAGAUUUUACGUCAGACGACAUGGGAAACUGUCAGAUAAAGGAUGGACGAUAAUAGAGCGCUUGUUCUUGUAAAAAUGGGAGAAGUCAUCCUAAAGAUUAAUUGGUUUGAGAGAAAGGUGCCAUGUUUCUGGGUUCAAGGUGUGACAUUUGGAGCCAACAAGGAAGUGAACUCCAUUAUUAAGAUUUAUGAAAAUGAUUCAGGUUUUAAAUUUCAUUCACCCCUCCUAUUAUGAAUUCUAUCUUAAAAAGCAAAUUGAAUUAAGUGCUGCAUUAUUCUCUCUAAUUACCACGUCCACAUCAGUUCUUUGGAGAAAGUGAUUGAUGCUGAAUAAAAGACGCAGUGAAACUGGACCAAACGCAGAAUGAUUCAGCUCUGAGCAGGAACUCUUUGUUGUGAGAGUUUUACUCUUAACUGAAGGCAGAGCUCAGGAUACAGAGCUGCCUCUCCCUCUCUCACAGUGUUUGUUUCUGUAAAGCAGCUCUGGCCAUCAGUACACAGGGGAGAUGAAGAGUUAUUGAACUGUUAUUGAUCGCAGGCUGGGAACAUCCAGAGAUUUAUAUAUAUUGUCCUUUUUCCAAGGUAAGCAAACAAUAAUCAGAAGAGCUGAAAUCCAAACUUUUGUCUCAUAAUAAAGCUUUCUACUGUAUGUAUUUAUUUUUUUGUAGAGGCCUGGAGAUGACCUACUGAAAACAACUGAAUAGAUGCAGUCCUCAAACAUGGUCUGACAUAUUCUAUCAAUGUGUGCAAAAUGCACAAAAGUGAUGCAAUGCACAUUCUAUUCAAAAUAAACCAAUUUAAGCUUAAUAAUGCCCUUUUUAUAUUAAUACAUGUUUGAUGGACAUUGUUAGUCUUUGCAAAUAUUUGACAAGGGAGAUAAUGCAACAAUUCACUCACCUUCUAGAAGGGAUUGCCUCAUUAAACACAGUGAGUGCAAGCAUUGAAAUUUGGUCAUAAACAGUGAAAUCCCUUUUGGUGCUACUUAUGUUUGAUUACAGACUGACUUGGCUCGGACAAGGACAUGUGUGACAGUAUCAAAGUAUCCAAAGACUGAAAUGCAAACUCCAGUGUCAGUGUCAUAUUUUAAAACAGCUUCACUUUCAUCAAUUUCAGAGAGCUUUAUUGGUCCUUGAUUUGCAUUUAAGGGUACAAAAACACUCAAAAACCAUGAAUGUCUUCUGGUCUGGGCUCUUUUUUUUAUUUUUAUUUUUUUGCUGUUGUAUAAAUAAAUACUUGAAAAAGGAAUGUUUGUUGUAGGUGUGCUCCUUAUAUAUAAUAUCACAAUGCGGCUAGUAUUAAUUAUUUGAAAUGUCUGAAGAAUCUCAUCAUAAUGAACACAAAACUGGCAGUAGCCCCCCGGUCCUUUCCAAAUUUCCCAGAGGGAAUCUUCUUCUUCUUGUUGAAGUUUACAGUUGAAAAAUGACUUGAUAUUGCUUUAUUGUUGAUUUUCACAAGGCCAUUUUUUACCAUCAGUACACAGCAAAGAAACUACAUGUGUAGAAAACAUGGACCUGAAAGACAUCCAUUCAGCACAUAUCAACUCAUGUAUCUCCUUUUAGUUCAUAUAAACUCACACACAGUUGUUUUGUUCAUGAGUGUGUAAGAGAUGGGACAAAGCUAGCAAACUGUCUUCGUUCCCGGGCCUGAAAUCAAAACCUAGACCAGACAGGAGCUCUCUGAGAUGAGUGGAGGGGGUGCUUGGGAUCUCAGGUUCUGGUUUGUGCUCUGGUCAGGUGUAGAUGGGGCAGAGAUUUUGGUGACGCUGUUUGUGAUGCGUAUGAAUUUGUUCUUGUUGGGGAUGUUUGGUAUUGGACCAAUAUCAGUUUAUCAAUAGCUGACGCAGACGAUUCUAGAGCAGGUUGGUCAAUGGGCGAUGUAUAAUGCCAAUAUCACAUUAUAGUUUUUUUUUUUUUUUAAUGUAAUAUUACUUAAAAUGAGAAAACAAAAUCUGUGAACAUUUGGAUUAUCAGAUUAAUUAUUCUAUCUCGAGUUGGGGUAUUACGGUAUGUCAUAAGAUCUGGCUAAUGAAACAUGACAAAAAGAAGGAAAAUUACAACUAUACAUCAAUACAGAAGUUUAUAACAAAAAACUAGUUUAGAGCUAUACAAAAAGGAUGAGGAGUGUGCGUCAGUGAAGAUGUGUGGAACAUGCUGCACAGUGUGAAAAUAAAUAAAUACAAGCACAACUAAAGCCAAACAUACAAAACUGUGUUGCCAUGUGGAAAGCCACUGCACGGAUGAGUGGGUGGGCCAGUGCUCGUAUACACCUGGGAGAUUGGCGAGGUAGCCUACUCUGAGGUACAGUGAAACCCCGCCCACAAAAUAGACUUAAGUAAUCUAUUAAGCAGUGUCUAUCCAAGAGGGAACCAUGUUGCUGCAUGCACCGAGAACAGCACUGCAGAAUGAAGAUGCUAUCAACAUCUGCACCGACAGAUUAAAUCCAGAUUCAGAGUGAUUGAUUGUAAAGGUGGUAAAGUGAGGUGACUUCUUCUCUGCAGACACAGAGUGAAUGAUAAUAUUGAAAAUGUCAAAAACUGAAGCCAGCAUUAUUUCCUGUCAGACGGUGUUCAGUGCAGGAAGCCAAAUUUACUUAGAUUCAUUCGGGGCCAUAUCUGCCUUAAUUUGCCAUCUGUGCUUGUUUAGAAGAGGGUCUCUGGACGCAGAUGAGAGUGCCUCCAAAUCUAACUCAAAGUCCUGCUUUCAAAGUGCUGGAAGACUAAGCGACAACUGACGUGCGGGUUUGAUGUGUGAGCUAUUUCCAUUCACACAAAGGAUUCUCAUACUCAACCUUGGUUUAAUUUAAAACAUAUCUGUUUCAUCAGUGACCAUUUAUAAGUUUCUCAUCCACAUUUUCACCAGAAAUAUUUGUAUGCAUCAACAAGCAACAACACAAUUAGCAUCUUAAAGGCAGAUUUUUAAGAUGAAUUCAAAAUUGUUUACAUCCAUCACAUACAAACACCGUCACAGACAUGUAACACAAAGGUCUGAGUAGAAGAAACAGGCCGCUUUCUAUUUGCCAGUUUCAAGGUGAACACUUGGAGACAUCAGGUUUCUUAUUACUCGGCUUAACAGGCUCCCUUAUUAAGGAUUCUGGUUGGACGCAUCUUUGCAGAGAAUCCUAAUUAGUGUGACUUAAACAAAAGACGGAGGAUUGUGCCAUCUGCCUCACAUAACGAGGAUUCCUCACUAAUUAAAAACACCUAGGAGAGCAGUUAGGGAGUAAUACCUGGUUAGGUUUGGAAGGUUAGGGAGAUCUAAUGAACACGAAAAUGAGUACUGCUGCAUUAAGUUCCCCCUUUAAAACAGCAGCCAUCAUCUCUUCAGAGAAACACACACCAGUGCAUGACCAAAAUACUUCCCCUCCUCCUGUUGGGUUCUUACACAUCAGAAACAGAUGUUGGAAUAAUUCUGCUGGCUUAUUAGUUUUACCACAAAAACAUAUUUAAUGUCAUAGUUGAAAUAAUAGUGCUGUACAUUUAGUGUUGAGUGGCAAAAAAUGUUCUUACCUUUGUCAUUAUGCGGAUAAAGAAAUUAGAAAAAUUAUACAAUAUUCAAUUUUUUUGUAGAAAAAAUGCAUUACAUACAAGAUGUGCUGCUCACAAUGUUUCACAAUAAGGAGCAGCAAGCAUCACAUCCAAUAAUAAUAAAAAUAAUUAGUUCAAAGGUAAAAAAUGCACCCCCAUGCCCACUACACCCAAAUAUCUGAAAAAAAUCACAAUAUUAAACUGGUAGAGGCCAAUAUUAGCUUAGUUUCAACUCAAUAUUGCUCAAUAUCAGCAUUUAAUAGUACCAUUAGUUUAAUGUCAGACAAUAUAGGCCUAAAAUCAGACAACAGCCAUUAUAAGAUUGAUAUCAGCUAUCAUUAGCCUUAUGCUGGUCUGAUAUAGGCAAACAUCAGCUUGAUAUUAACUGAUAUCACCUCACUUAUAAUUUCAGCCCAGUACCGACCAAUAUCAGAGCAAUAUCAACUGAUAUAAAUGAACAAAGAAAAUUUUAGCUUGAGACAGACCAAUAUUAGCCAAUACCAUGUAAUGUAUGCAUGUCAUCAGCCCAAUAAUAGCCAGUGUUAGACUGAUAACAUCCAAUACAAAUCAGAUAUAGUCUGAUGCUAGCCUGAUCUUGGUCAGAAUCAGAAAAAUAGGCAAACAUGAGCUUGAUAUAAAAUUAUAUCACCCAACCAUUGGGUAAUUUCAAUUAAGGACAUUGGUCUUUUAUUGAAAUUACCCUUUUAUCUCCAUUGUCCUAGCCCAAUACCAGCCCAUGCAAGCCACUAUCAGCCCAACAUUACCAUGAUAUAGGCCAGCUGAUGUCUCUGUGUGUCUAAUCAUCAAAUAAAAAUACAUAUCUCCAACUGGUCCAAAACUCAGCUGCCCACAUCAUUACAAAGACCCCCACACAUCACCACAUCACCCCCGUCCUCCAGCACCUCCACUGGCUCCCCAUCAAAGACCGGAUCAUCCACAAACUCGUCCUGUUCGCAUACAUGGCCAUCCAUAACCCAUGUAUCCGGUCCUCCUCCUCCAUCCACCUCUCUGUCCCCCCUGCCUGCCUCAGUACAAUGGGGGGCAGAGCCUUCAGUCACUCUGCCCCCCAGCUCUGGAACUCACUACCACCCGAUCUCAGAAACACUGACUCCUUUCUCUCUUUCAAAACACUACUCAAAACCCACCUGUUUCGCUCCGCAUACUCCCUGUAGCUGUUUUAUCCAUUCCCUGUGUCGAUUUUUAUCUGUUUAAAUUGCUUAUUGUUUUAUUUAUUGUUUUAUUACGAAUGUCUUGCUUUUAAUAUUGUACAGUGACCCUGGGUGCUUUGAAGGGCGCUUUCAAAUAAAAUGUAUUAUUAUUAUUAUUAUUAUUAUUAUUAUUAUUAUUAUUAUUAUUAUUAUUAUUAUUAUAUCUAAACCCUAACCAACUAUGAUCAAAGUUAUAUGGAAGGCUGAAAUCAACUAAUAUCAGAAGAUCAUGGCCCAGCCUAUUGCUGACUCAACCUUGGUAAUUAUCAGACUUACAAUGCUACUAUCAGCUUGAUAUAAGUGAAUACAAGACAAAAAUCAUAUUGUAAAAGCCAAUAUUAGACCAAUAUUAGCCAAUUGCCAGCCAAGUAUUGGUUAAAGGGGACCUGCCAUCAAAAUGUAAUUUUGUGUGUUUUUUGUGUCAGAUAAGGUCCAUAUUAUGUUCAUCUUAUGUUGUAAAUGUGAAAACAAACCGUUACGUCGUUUGCAUUCUGUAAAGGUUUAAAAUAAAGAACGGGUAAACCAGGCCAAUUGAAAAAGCAGGUCCCUCUGACGUCGCGCUGACCUUGCUCAUUAUUAUUCACGAGCGCGUCCUCGGUGAGCCGCGCCCACUCUCUCGUUCUCGUACUCGUUCACAGUCAACAUCACUCUCCAGAGCGAGACGCAGCUACCACUGUAUCCACUAUGGGUCUCUUCCAAACGACCGGUGCUUCCUUGGGUUCACUGCCGGGAAAAUGAACUUAAAGCUGGGCAGAAUGAAUGAGAAAACACCGCUGGAGAUCUCCGGCUUCUUCUUCAACUUCCACCUCCUCUUCGGACUCGGGGUCUAAAAUAUAUGGUUUAAUACCUGCCGUUUUUAGCCUUCAGCAUAAGGUGACCAGACGUCCACGAUUUCCGGGGACAGUCCCCGUAUUGGAUGACCUGUGCCCGGCAAAAGCUGUCCCCGAAAACAUCCCUGAUUUAAGCGUUUCAUGAAUGAGAGCAAAAAUGUUGCGUGUGGGCUCGAAGAAUGGUUAUUACCGUAGCCGAAUAGGUAGGAAGCACAAGUUAGCAGUCCUGAACAACAGUUUUUAAGGGGUUAUUACAAGGGGCAUGCGCUGCAACUAAAUAGUACCAAGAUUUUGUCUGUGAUCACGCAGCCCCUGCAGCCCCUGCACCUGCCGCCGCACCGAAUAUCCCCGGAUAUCAUUACAGACAUCUGGGCACCUUACUUUAGCACACAUUAGCAAAAUGGAUAAACCGAAAUCCGAACCUCCACUGCUGAGCCAAUCAGAGCACAGCAGGCUUCACAGCAGCGAUCCAAUCAGAGCAAAGCUCAUUACCAUAAAUGUUAAUGAGCCAAAAUCAGUUGGUUUUCCUGUAAGGUUUAUUAGGCAUACUAAAACAAACCAUCAAAUAACUUUUCAGCUAAAAUUAUGUUGCAAACAUGAUCAGAGGACAUCAAGGAUUAUGAAAAAAUGAUAAAAAUGGGUAUGAAAUUUUGAUGACAGGUCCCUUUUAAUGUCAGAGCAAUAUAGACAAAUAUCCGCCAAAAUAUGGGCAAAUAUAUUAACAAAUAUCACUUCAACAUUGGAUCAUUCCAGCCUCACAAAGGCUGAUAUCAGCUUUUUAUCUGAACUUCAUCAGCAAAACAUCUGCCAAUAGUAUCCCUAUCCUAUAGUAUGGCAAAUUAAUACAUUUCUGUGUCUAAAAGAUACUCAGACAGAAAUAACGUGACGAUAAAAAAUGCUUGAUUUAAAAACAUUUGGGUUGGGAUUGACAUGAGAGAUGCAAUAUUAUCUUACACCCACAACUCUUAAUUGAUAAGCUGCAUACCUCUCUAUGUUUCCCAAAUGCUGACUGAAUCAUGAUUAAUGUCUUAUUUAGCAAUAAUCUAUCCCCAAAAAUGAUUCAACUCUGGGAAGUAAGUGAAUUUCUGCAGGUCCUCAAUUGAAAGUUGAAACCAAAAGUGGUUCCACUCGGGAGGAUAAUUUAUUGGAGAUGAAUUUGUCACAGAGUGUUUGGUCCUCGGUGCAUGUCAGGACGAAAGGAAAAAAAAAAGGCUUGGUUACUGUCGGCAUCAACAGGGUUCAAUUUCACACCAAUUAUAGCUCCAUCUAACUGAACACAGGUGGAGGGACAAACCUGAACAUGAACAUUAAACAGGAGUAUGUGCAGCUCUCACUAUAAACUAAAUAGAUUUACACUCUGCAAUAACGAUUAAAAUAUUAUAACAGCUGUCAUAUUCAAAGGCAAUUUUCUCUGAGUUAUUUCACUCUAGUUUAAAUCGGCAGGAAAGUCUGUGUCCAGCACACACAUACACAUGUACACACACACGCAUACACACACACGCAAAUAUAUCAACCCCACCAUACACUGCUUAUGCCCUCCAGGCACAGGUUUCAUUUGAGCACAUUCAUUACCUUUUAAUUGCCUCUAAAUUGCAAUGUGACCCAUCACAUCAAUAACACUAUCUUUGUAAGAGGAGAAAUGAACCUCAGCGGGGUUACACUGUGUGUGUGUGUGUGUGUGUGUGUGUGUGUGUGUGUGUGUGUGUGUGUGUGUGUGUGUGUGUGUGUGUGUGUGUGUGAACGCAGAUAAUUCUCUAUGAUGUUUGUGUGUGUUUCGUGUGGAGCGGUGUAAUUCCUGGAGAAAAGAGGACUGUGUGUGUGUUUAUGUGUGUGUGCCGGCGCUCUGUGUCCUUAGCCGGUGGAGUCAGCGUGUUUUGAGAGGAGCAGAUAUUUCCACGAUGAAGGUGAAUCAAAAUGUGUUUCAAUUUAAUCCGCUCUGAUUACACACUGUCGUGCCCUACCUGAGCCUGCCAGCAUUGCUGAUCUCAAACACCCCCCCCCCCCUGACCUUCAGACCAAAUAUGGGCAACAUCCUGCAGGUUUAAAUCCUGAUACAAAAAGUUCUGAUUAAAACUGCAUUAACAAUAUAAUCAGGAAUCAAACAGUGUUCAGCUCAGUCUUACCUCCAGACUGCAAAAAUGUAUAUAUUCUGUACCAAGAUAGUUUUCACAGUUUGUACCUUAGCUUAGUUGAGAGAGAACAAACCAUUCUCUCAGGGAGGUGGAAUCAGGUUUUGCUGCAGGAUGCCAACCUCCCAUAAGCUGAUCUCUUACUGACAAGUUUACCUGGAUGAAGACUUCUUAGAUGAACAGCUCUCCCAAAAUGUGAAGCUUUUAAAAAGGGGCUGAGCAACAUGCCCAAAUGUUUGAAUAUUAUACUUUGUAAGUCUGCACUGAUAUUGCUCGUAAAAACGCAUCCAUGCCAUCAUUGUUUUCAGGCUCGCCACCCCCUCUUUGUCCUCAAAUGACUCCGAUUGGUCUGAUCAUCCUCUGAGAAAGCACACUAGCCAGAUGACAGACACAGAAUCUGACCAAAUCAUCUGCUCUUACAGACAUUGAUCUUCUUUCUACUUAAAAAAAGGUACCCAGUGAAGUAAAAGUUUUGCAUGUUUUACUCGUUCUAAUCAAUUAACAUCAUCAUUUUUGGCUCAUGGUAGCAUGAAAAAGAUUCCUACCUGAACUUGUCUGGUCAAUGUGGCCUAAAUUAGGUGUAAUUAACAACUUUAUUUAGUGCUUAGGCCCUUGAUACUCUAGUUAAAGUAGGACGGUUUAAAAAUACCCGGAUGCCAUGCAGCCAAAAAAAGAAGAAAAAGAAGAAAGUCAAGUAGGGCUGAAAAACUCAUUAUUUUGCCCGUGUAAUAGCAGAGCUCUUUGAGAAUCACAGUAAAGACAAGAAGUCCAGUCCAUUCAUGAAGGAACACCAUCUAAGCAUUUAAAUCUAUACAGAGCUAAAUCCCUGUGAUGGAGAAAUCAUGAACACUGUGCCACUGUGAUCUGAAAUAUCUUUUUUUUUUUUUUUUUUUCCAGUAUCCACAGGGGCAGCAAACUCCUCCUGCUGCUGCUCAAAGUUCACGGUUCCUCUAGCAUUCCAGCGAAACGAGCUCCUGCUGUGCCCCACACCAGAUGUCCCUCUGAACUCUGGCCGUGUUCUUCAUUACAGAGCUGCAGACCUGUGCUGUGAGCUGCAUACCUGCACCCUCUUUACCUCAGAGGGCUGCUGGGACCAGAAUUAAUUAAAUCCUAAUAUAGCCUUGUCUGGAGGAGGUGGCAGUCUGUGGGGUUGUUAAGAGCAAAUUAAGACCAGAGCCCCUUCCUGCAUCUGAGAAAAUGACUCUUUAACUGUGAGGUGCAAUUAAGAGGGAGGGUGGUGUUACCUGGUGGCGGUGGUCUGUGGGGAAAUCUUCAGAUCAGCUGAACUUUUCUGUUUUCACCAUGUCUGUCAGCACUCGUAUUUCAGAGUUUGAGUCUGUGGUGACAGGUGAUUGCUCAGGUGAGAUAUUAUGAGGGCUUUAAAGAUGAUGAUCCUACGACUCAACACUUUACAAACAAAAACUGCUGGAGAGAAAUGUUUAUUUCUUUUUAUUUGUUCGAAUUUUGGAAAACUGGCUCUAAGAACUUGCCAACAACUUUUAGACUGAGUCUGUCAAUCACUGUUCAGUUACAUUACACAAGUUUCUUUGUCUUUUAAUAAAGAAGGAUUCAAGUGAAACAACUAAUACCUCUUUGUCUCUGAAAGGUAGGAUGUUUCCAAGGAAUAAGACUCUCCAGACAUUCGGAGGAGCAUCUUUUAAAACACAGGGGUAAUUAGCACCACAUCUCUGCCUCUGAUACUAAUUCACACCUGAUAGGAAAAAGCAGCAGGUAUUUGUGCAGUCACUAGGAUGGCUCAUUUUAAGAUACCGGAGUUCACAAUAAAAUCAAAUUGAUAUCCAAAUGAUAAAAUUGAAGAUUUGUUUGUUUUUAAUCUCAACUAUUUGAUCAGAGCUAAUCCAGGCAGUCUAUUACUGGUCAUAAAUCAGAAUCUAGAGCCUGUCCUUUCAGUCAAAACACUUGCAACAGAAUCAGGAAACCGAGGAAAAUUUGCAGUAGGACAUAUUGUAAAUGUGCAAGCAAUCACUUAGUGUUACCAAAAAUUUGGCUUUGCCUUGUGCAAGCUCAUUAGGAAAAUGCUUAACAGGUCACUGAUAUGGUACUGCAGCCACUGCUCACAUUUUAUUAUACAGGCGACUAGGUCACAGCGGCAAUGAUGUGCAGAUUAGGCAAACCAUACCGCAGACUUUUUAGCAAACCAUACAUUGAGAGCUACAGUUUAUUUUAAAGGAGUCUGAGUACAGUUGGAGUGUUCACAUAUUGACCUUUAGAGGACUGAAAGGGAACAAUUGUUAAAACAACCAGGUGGUUGGUUGGAUACACCACUGAGACCGUUUUUGUCGUGCAAUUAUUUCAGACGUCAAUAUUUUUUUUUUGAACCCAUAUCCUGUCAAUACAAGUGUUCACAUCAGGGACAUUUUCCCGUCCUGCGAUACUGCAUUUAUUUUUCAAAUCAUGGUAGGUUUUUCCAAAGUUUCACAUACUUCUGACCAGUCAGAUUGCGUGUUCUUGCAACGUCUGAUUAACCGGUAUAUCCAACAUGGCCGACCAGCUGAUUGUUUAUGAUUGUUUACACACACAUUACAAAGAUAACGACCUGAAGGACAACUUGUGGAGAGUCAUAGCGUAGGAUUUGUGAUAUGACGAUGUUUUGUGUGCUUUAACAGUUUGUUAAACAUCUUUGUUUUAACAUUCAUCUGUGCCAACGUAAGCUAACUGUUGUUACCAUAGUUUUAUGUGCAUAUCUGGUACUGGCUCCGACUCAGUACAUGCUAUUAUGACAGACAGCCAUCUCAACACUAGUGUCUAGUCCUCUGCCUCUUCAAACUUGGAGCUAAUUGUUUCAGCAGAACUUCAAAUUGUCGAACGGACAUCAGGAAAUAGUUUCUGAAGUAACCGUGGUACAGUUUCAGCUCCUGAACCAAGCAGUGAAACUCACCAAGUUCUCUUCUUUUUUGGAAUAUUGGACCCGUGUGCCCCAUUUAUUUUUCUUUUGAGAAAGCAAAAGGAGUACCAAUUCCCCAUCACUUGAAGUUGAAGUAGACGCCAUUUUUGUCCUCUCGUUUCCACCCCGGACUCUGUAGGAUGGUAAGGGAGGGUCCCGCCCUCCUUCACCUCUGAUUGGCUAUAAGUGCUGACCGUUUGGCUUGAGCGUGUGAUGACAUUUCCAGCUUUUCUAGCCAAUCAGAGGCGAAGGAGGCAUCCCGGGAAAAGUCUUCCCCGGGAUGCGUCUUUUUCCCCUGGAAAGUCGCAAAAUCGCAUUGGGCUUGAUGUGUAUAGUCAGGCGCAUCAAAAUUCGCCUAUGAAUAUUUUGUAAUUUCGCGUUCUAUAUUCACGUCAGCCUUGGUGUGUAAGGACCUUAACUCAACAAUCGAGGAUGCAGGUUUUUGGAUCUACAUGUGAAACACAAAGAGACUGAGUCAAAGAGAUGUUGUUGAACAUCGACAAUGAACCACCAAAAUGGGGGGGAUACAGGGACUAUACAAACACUGGGUCACGAGCAUAGACUGUAUACACUGUGGACAACUUGGUUCCACCUUUCAUCACUGUACAAUUUUAAAGCCAAAUUGCUCUCGGUAUUUUCGGUAUUUUCUCCACCUCCUGGAACCACCCCUUGCACAGCAGCAUUGUAUGCUUUUGGCGGGAGAGUCGCCGAGAGUCACUGUGAUGACACUCUGCUUAAACAGCAUAUCCCCUGGGUGAGCUACGCAAUCUUUGUGUGCCCAUAGUCUGUAUAAAGUGUGAAUCAUAGAAAACAUGAACCCCCUAAUAACUUUUAAAAACGGAGCUGUACAGAAAAAAAGAGGACUUGAGCACAAACCAGUCUUACAAUAACUACAUGUCAACAUUGCAACCAAGGAGGAGAAAAAUGUUUAUUCUGUGUAAUUAAUUUCUAAAGUUUGUCCACAGCUCUAAAGGGAUUGCUGUUUGUCGUGGAGGCGUCACCCAGUGAGGAGGCAGACGGCGUCUAUUCUAUAUUCAGCCUAUGGUAACGAGCAACGAGAAACAGGUGAGACAGUAAGACACAGGUGCAGACAAUCACAAAGGAGGGAAGACACAGGAAGUCAAAUUAAACUGGACACACAGGGAUAAGGGACUACAAAAUAAAACAGAAAACACUGAAAAUGAACCACAUUCUUAAAACUCUGAAAACACAAUGAGAACUGGAGCAUAGGCAAACUGAAAAAACACAUGAAACAGAAACACAGUGGAACUACAGACCAAAGAUGUAACAGAAAAUACAAAAGAGGGAAAAAUCAAAACCACAAGAACAAACGGUAAAUGGUAAAUAGACUAUUUAAAAAAUGGUAAGUGGAUAAUUUAUUAAUGUUUAAUCAUCAUUUAUAAAUAGCAUAUAGACCAUUAAUUGUAAGUUUUACAAUUUUAAAAACCUAACCCUAACCCUAACCAACUUUACAAAAACCAUCUAAGUAAUGAUUAUAGGUGGUUUAUAAACCACUUAUUAAUCACUCACAAAGUAUUACAAACAUCAGUUGCAACUUUACAAUAACCAUCUUUACAGUAACCAUCUAAGUAAUGUUUAUAGAUGGUAGAAAACCAAAUAUUAACCAUUUACAAAGUGCUACUGACACACAUUUAAAUCUAGAUGUUUUACAACCAAUAUUCAAACUCUAUAUUAACCUUUAAUAAAUAGUCCAUUAAUAAUCAAUGAAAAUUAUUAAUUAUGAAUCAUAAUUUCAUUGCUUGUUAAUGGUAAAGUAACUAUUAACUUGUAUUAAUAAACAAUCCAUUUGCCAUUUGUAAUUGGUCUAUAUGCUGUUUUUAAAUGAUGAUUAAAAAUUAAUAAACUAUCUAUUUACCAUUUAUAAAUUAUGGUUAUUGUAAAGUGUUACCUAACAAACCAUCAAAGCAUCAACCAAACAAAAAAAAAAAAAAAAAACAGGCAUGAGUUGAGCACAAACAACAAGACUGUCUGAGCUUUAGCAAAAUUUAAAGUUUUGUAAAUUAUUCAAUUUAAAUCAGUAUCAUCUUGAGAUUAAGACUUAGGAUCAAUUAUUUGUUUGGUAGUCCUGUUGCAAGACCCCACACUCACAACAUAAUCCCUUACUUAUGUAAAUCUCUGGGCUCUAAUAUGUUCACAGUGAAGGAGAUACUAAAAAAAUACCAUCCUGUACAGUAUGUAUGAAUAGAGUAACUAAAACCCUUCUUGGAGCAUGUAGAAUCUCUUUUAACAUGUUUGUUUUUAACAUUAGGAAAUUAACAGGGUUUCCUCAGCUUUGGGAGCUGACUUCAAGUGGACUCUAAAGGAACUUCAGUUUUGCACUUCUUAGCUUUAUUUUUCAACCCUGGAAAUUACGGUUUGGUUUCAAGGUGCAGGACCAAAAAGCCUCAGAGUCUCUGUCAGUAUCAAGAGUGUCACUAUGUUCGAAUUCUUCCCUACCCAAAUUAAUCUUCAUAUUACUUUAAUUAAACUAAAUAAAAUGAUUUUUUUUUCUCCCCUGUGGCUCUUCCCCGAAGCCAAUUAUCUAAAUAUGUUCGUAAGCAAGCCAGUUGUAAUGAAAACAUAAAAACAAAAACCGACUGGCAUGCUACUGCAGAAAGACUUCCAUCUGUUCUUUGGAGUGGAAUCAAUCGUUAUUUAACAAUCUCCAGCGUGGAUGCAGGCUGUCAAAGGUCAAAGGAGACGUUUGCACUCUGAGGGCAGGGACUUGGAGCAGGAAGUAACUCUGAGAAAGAUCACUCAGGUAGGUGGAUUUAAGGUCAAGUUCCACCAGGUAAAGUCCAAGCAUUCAGUUCUGAAUUAUGGUAACCUGUGGCACCUUUUAAUUCUGUAUAUACACUGAGGUAGGAGGCACAAGUUAAUGUGGAAAGGAAUAAAUCUGAAGAACUGAUAUGUUGAGUUUAUCUUUCGGUACUCUGACAUUUAAUUUGUUUAAAUUUUAAGAGAAAUAUGAUUAUUAUUAUGUGCACAUAAAAAGUACCACUUUGGGGUCUUCACCUUUCACCAGCAAAGGAAACCUCAGUUUACAGAUGCUGUUUUGUUUGAUUCCUGCAGUCGUGACACCUGGUCAAAGUCUAUCAUUAAACAUUUUUUGGAAAGGCAGAGGAAGGUUAGUUAUGCAAUAGGAGUCAUUUUAAAAAACAGAUGGACUGACUGAGAAAGAUGCAGAAAACUGAAAAGUUGAGUAGAAGUUCCCUCUGCAGCAGAUGGGAUGCAGGCAUGGCAAAGAUUCAGCUAAUAUUUCCUGAAUAACUGCAGCCAAAUCAACACCACAAAUGUUUGAUGCAGAGUGUAAACCACCACAGCAGCUCAAAAUGCAAAGAAAGACUGUCCAUGAGCCCAAGGCUAAUAUUUCUAACAAUUAUUUUUAACACCUGUUUCAUAAUGUUUUUCAGACCAGCUAUUUUAAAUACACAGCGGUAUUUUCAUGUCACAGAGAGUUCUAAUAGAGGCUUGUUAAAGUGUGAUUUCCACACCACAGCAUGCUUAAUAGACCUGCCCAGGCUUCACUUUUCCUUAAGUGGAAGCAGAAUUAAGACAUAAAAGUCGUGGCUGUUUCAAAUUAGGACACUUCAGGGUGCUAUAAGCCUACUCUACUCUAAGUCAGAGCCUUUAAAUCCACAUUUAGAAAUGUUACACGUCACGUGGCCCUGCAGCCAACCCAGCGACACGCAGGUUUCCUUUGGUCAUCCACACUCCCCGGUGUGCAGCAGAACCCUGCAAGUUUGUCUCAUCUCCUCUUGAAAGUCGCUUCAUGCUGUUUCUGUUUAGGAAUAUGUGAACUUUGACAAUGGUGAGCCACAUUUUAGCAAGAAGCAGAUGGUACGUGGACAAAAAUGUAUCAUAUCAAACUGCAAAGGAUGAGACGGUGUAAAAAUAGUUUGAACCAUGACGCCACCUUUUUGGUUUGUGGACAAGAUGACUUAAUCCUGAAGUUUUCUCCCCAUGAUAAAUGAUGUCAUUUCUUUAGUUUUGGCAGAAAUGACUUUUUGGGGGGUUUAGCAAACACUGAGUUAUCAAAGAUGUAUAUUUUCUGUGCCAAUAGCUAAGAUUAAUCAUAAUUUUUUUCACGAGACUUUUUUGUGAUGGUAUAUAAAUGGAGGUGACUCUUUAUGGGACCAGAGAAUUCCCCUUACUUUACAUAACUUAAUCCAUGAUAUAACAAAAACAGGUGAGUUAUAAUUCAGCCUUGUACACUUGGCAUGAGUAAAAAAGGGCCUUGGAGACCAAAACUUAUUUUGUAAAGGGCCAUAAACAUCUCAAUUUCUGCUGUAAAGUUGCACAUUUUAACAUGAGGCUCUAUGGGGAGAGACUCAUUUUCAGAGACACUCUAGUGGACACUCAGUGAACUGCAGAUGUUGGGAUUUCGGGGUCAGCCUCAUAUUUCCAUCUCAAAGGUUUGUUUGGAUUGUAGGUGCACCCUCCAAUCAGAUAAAAGUCAAACAGUGGCUCAGAUGCUUCCUCCUCAGUCAAGCCAUGUUAUGAAAAUAUAUGUAUUUUCCUCAUUUUUCUCUUAAUCCUAAAUUCAGUUUGAGAAAAAAAAGUAAAGACAACACUAAUGAGGCCUUGUUCAAUAACAAAUAUCUUACUGGUCUGUAUGCAAGAGGACUUUCACUCAACAUGUUUUCUCUGGCAAAAGAAGCACCUGUGUCACUUUAAUCAACCAUGAACAUCAAAAUGAAAAUUGCUGUUGUUAAUCAGCAAUUGUGCCAAACACCUCAACAUUUGUGAAUAUUUGUAAAUUAUCCUCUCUUUUAUUCUGCGUUUGACACAAAUGAGGUUCAAAUUCACUGAAAUGAAGGUAUUGGAAAACUACUUGCAGGGCAUAGCUUUUUGUCUGAGACAGUUGAGUUGAAGGUUUAGGUAAUCAUUGAUGUUAUUUUCCACAGCUUGAGGGAGGCAGUUAUUGUAUAUAUGUAUUGUACAUGCAUCAUUAAUCCAUGAUGGCAGGCUUCUGGUUUGUUUAUGUAUGGUUGAUCUUGUUGGGUCAAUUGCCUGUAAUCUACCUCUGUUACGUUACAAAUAAUUCAACUUGUGGGCUAGAUUUUGGAGAAACUAUAUGGCAGUGUGCUUGCUGAGCUAACAGGCUGCUAACUGGCCAACAGGCUAUUUCAUUCAGUCCAGCUGCCAAUUUGACUGUCCAGUAAAAUUUUCUAUUCAGAAAUGUCUUGCUGCCACUUCAGCAGUGUUGUUUUCAUCAUAUUUCGUCAAAUAUUUUCGUCAAUGUCAGCGUCAAAUAAGAGAAAUAUUUUCGUCAACGAGAACAAUUUCGUUGAUGAAAAUAUUUCCCUUUUCUUCCACGACGAAGACGUAACAUUGACGAGCUAAACAUAAGUCGGAGAUGACUAAAAUGUGACGAGACAAAAAUGCGUUUACGUUAACGGGGCGAGACGAAAACAACGAACAGAGUUGCAAAAUUCAGUCAGUUAAACGCUAAACAUAUAGGAGCAGCUUCAGUCCGCUCUGACAGCUCUCAUCAGCCUGCUGUGCUCCUCCAGCACACAGACACACACACACACGCAGGCGCGCGCACACACGUGCAGUUUUGUUUUCGUUGACGAUAACGUUGACAAAAAUAUUUUCGUCAACGUCAUGGUUGACGAAAACAACACUGCACUUCAGGAGGACUAUGUUCUUUAUCUUGUUUGCCUUUAUGUUGAUUGCCAAUUUUAAAUACAGUCAAAUUUAUUAGUUCUCACGUAAAAUUGGCAUCUCCCCCACUUAUCAUCCAUGAAAUUCACUUUUUUAUACAGGAGACUAGAGGUAUCAUUCAUGUCUUUUUGGCUCUAUGAACACCCUGCACAUAUGUAAGUUGAAACGAGAUAUUAAUUUCAUCUCAACUUACUUCUUCAGACGUGUCCAAACAUACAAGAUUCCUCUGUUUAGCACUGUUUUGGCAUCAUUUACUUUAUUUAUUCAAUUAAAAAGUUAAAAUACCAGCCAAAAGUCAAAGAGCAUACCCUGAACAAGAACUAGAGGAAAUGGAUCAUGUACAUGGGACGUGCUGCCAACAAACAGCUGAAUCUGUGGCGUGUGGUGUAUUUUGUGGACCCAGAGGCAGACUCAGAGACAGACACCAGUUAACAGAUGUAAUUUUAAUGUCCAAACUCAGGGAGAAAAAGGUAUGAAAGAAAGUCCGGUUGGCUGUCUGGCUGUUGUGUGGGCUGGAGACACUGUGGAGAAGCAGAGGAGAAGAAAGUGAGAAGACAUGCAAGGAAUCACAAGGAGCAAAAAGGUCACGAGCACUUCGCCAAGGAGAAGGUCAGGAGAAGCGUCUGUACCACUCAGGAGUGAAGACAAUACUCAGGCACUGAGACUGAGGUGGUCUUUACACAAGUACAAAUUUGCAAGACACCGUUGAAAUAAACUAUCAAUCAGGUGAUAUUGACACACAGAGACACGUAUUUGUCCAUGCUUCGUCUUCUUCUUCAUGCCGUUGGUGACGGUGACCUCAUAGCACCCCUCCUCCUCUACUCCCCGCCCCCCAACCCAUGUUGUCACACACACAGCAUGUAUGUAUGUAUGCGCAUGCGCAUUCUCUAUUUUUGGUGCCUUGUGGCAAUUUUACAGUGUCACCUUUAGGCCAGGCGUAUGUACUACAGGAUUUUGCAUGGAUUUUGCAUUGGAAUGUAAAUGCACUAAGCCUAUGUACAAUACGAUGUGUAAACAGCGAUACAUGUUUUGGUGCCGACGCCAAGACAACUGGCUUCUUCAAGGGGCUUGAUUGCCAAUGCAGUGCAGGUGUGGAGUCUCUCUCAGCCUCAGCGACCAGGGGGAAGGGGGAGUGCUCUGAAAGACAGUCAAGCCAGACCAAGGACACAAAGAAAACAGGAGGUUCCACCAAAAUAAAACCGGAGAUAGAGGCAUCUCACCACAGAACCAUUAAAAAGGACUUGGUCCUUGAAAUGUUCAUGCUGAUGUAAUGUUUUCUAUGUAUGCUAAAAUAAAAUUAUACAUACACUACAGGCCAAAAGUUUGGAAGCAAGAUCAGAUUCGUAUAAAAAAGAUCAUAGUUUCAUUAAUAUAAUUUACAACACAAUAAACAUGACUAUUGUGUAAAGAGUAACUUAUCAGAAGACAUUUGACUAUAAUUAUUAGGUAUUUGAGUUAUUGUUGCUUAGACUUUGCUUUCUUUAAAGUAACCUCCUCUGGCUUUAACAACAGCUUGGCAUAUACUAGGCAUUCAUUUCACAAGUCUUUUAAGGUAUGUUCCAGGGAUUGCAUUCCAAGCUUUUUAAGUUCAUUAAAAAGAGACUGCUGAUUCAUGAGACACGCUUUUCUGACUGACCGAUCCAAUUCAUCCCGCACAAGCUCAAUUGGAGAAAGGUCUGGAGACUGAGGGGGCCAAACCAUCUUUUGAAGAACACCUUCCUCUUCUUUUUUGUCUAGGUAACCUUGACAGAGCUUGGCAGAGUGCUUAGGGUCAUUGUCUUGCUGCAAAAUAAACUUAUGAGCCACAAGUCUGAGUCCAGAUGGAACAGCAUGAUACUGGAGGAUGGAGUGGUACUGUUCCUUCUUCAUGAUACCCUUUACUUCAAACAAAUCUCCUACUCCAUCACCUGCAAAACAUCCCCAUACCGUGGAACUACCACCUCUGAAUUGUGGGUGUAACACAUGGCGCUUUCAGACGUUGACCAAUUUGUCUGCGGACAUAGACUCUGCGUUUUGAACCAAAUAGUGCAAACUUGUUUUUAGUCAUCAGAAGUCCAAUUUUUGUGAGCUUUUGCCUACUCAUAUCUCUUUUUCUUGUUCUGUGGACGAAGUAGUGUUUUUUUUGCAGAUACACAACCCUUCAGACCAGCCUUUCUCAAACAUCAUUUCACGGUUGUCAGAGAUAUGGGUUUCGACCUUGUCAUGUUGAUUUCCUAUUCCUAUUAUUCACGGUGCUGUCUUUCGCCGAUCUCUCUUACUGGUGACAAUGAUAUGUUAUUCUUCUGCUUUUGUAGUAACUCUCUUUCAUCCAGGUCUUUUUCUAUCAUCAUGACUUCCAGGUUCCUCUAGUCUCUUCAAAGUGUAGUGGCCUCCUUUGUUAAACACCUUUAGGCGUUUUGCAAUUUCUCUUUCUGUGUAUCCUUCUUUUCUCAAUGUACAAAGCUGUACUUUUGUUUCUUUACUCAGUUGCUUCUUUCUAGCCAUUUUUGCGGUAGUUUGAACACAGUUGAGAUUUAUCAAGAUUUUUGUAUGCAGACUCUCAAAAGCCAAAAAGUUUAAGUGAAUAAUUUAACUGUGAUUUGUUUUUUGUUUUUGCACUGAAGUUGUGACUCUUGCAAAUAGUAGGGUCUGUUAACUUGAAAAAAUGGCCAAAUCAAUACGCGGUGGAUAAAAGCACCAAAUUUGGUACACACAUUCUUUAGGGUGUAUCUUAUCAUCUCGGAAGGGGUGCCCAAAGAUUCGGACCCAUUAAAUGCCUUUUAAAGGGUAAAAUCCAAAAUGGCCGCCAAGUUUGAACCAUAAUUCCUAUGAUGUGGUCUAAUUCUGAAAUUUUGGCUUAAUCUGCUUAUUAUAGAUUUUCAUUUAUAGCAAAUAGACCAAUAAUAAAGGAUUUGGCCAAAGCCACCCAAGAAAAAUGUGUAAAAUAUGUUUUAAAGACCUUUAAACGAGAAUAAAUUGGCUUAAAAUGUACUCUGAAAGACAUGACUUCACACAUUAAUCCUUCUGUGAGUGAUAUAUUGUUGAUGCCAGAUACAAAAUUGUUUUUUAAAAAACUUCUAGUAGGCCCUAUGAAUGAUUAUAUAUAGGUAAUAUAUUGUGACAACUUUAUAUGACCAUAGAUCCAGCACUCAUAUACUGUAUAGGCACAACUUAUUUUUAAGCCGAGACAUAGCAAGUGACUAGUGGAAUCAAAGACACUUACAUUACUGGAAAGAUACACCUGUGUUCUGUACGACAAGACAACUGACAUUGAAAAUGUCAAUGACCUAAGGAAGGACCUGUUUGCUAAGAAAUCUCUGUCAAUGGAAAACAUUCCUCCGACACAGGCUGCAUUGCUACAGCAUGCACAUCGAGCAGUUUAUCAGUCUAGGAUUUGGUUCAACAGCUUCUACAUCUCCUGACAAAUUUCGAUGGACCAAGUCAAUGAUUUGUGGAGACCGCUAUGGACACGAUUGCCAGAGGCUGCCAAAGUUUGCAGAGAACUCCUUAAGUGUGGCUGCAAAGCUGAGCCCCUCUGUUUUCGGAAUGUCGGUGCUGGGAUGCUGGAUUACCUUGUACAGAAUUAAGCCAAUGUGCUGGUAAAUGUGAAUGGGACAUGUGAGUCACUUGGCAAAAAGAUAAACAAUAAAAGACGAAAAGAGGGGAACAAGACAAAACAACAGACAGACAAACAGACAGACAGUAGCAUGCCCACUCAGGAUGGAUGGAGAUGGGUGGAGAGAUGGAGAGAUAUGAUGACAAACAGACAGACAGACAGACAGACAUGAAGAUGGAUGAAUGGCAGACAGACAUGAAGAUGGAUGGAUGGAUGGAUGGAUGGAUGGAUAGAUGGAUGAUGGACGGAUGAUGAAUGGAUGGAUCCAGCCUCAUUGGGAAACAAUUCAGAUAGAUAGAUAGAUAGAUAGAUAGAUAGAUAGAUAGAUAGAUAGAUAUGAUACAAAGAUUAGAUAGAUAGAUUAGAUACAGUAGAUUAGUAGGUAGAUGGAUGGAUGGAUGAACGAAUGAAUGAAUGAAUGCAGCCUCAAUGGGACACAAGCCAUUGUUCUACUUGUGCUGGUCCCAAACCCGGGGAAAUGCAGAGAGUUGUAAUUUAAAUAGUUUGGUAUGCAUUUAUAGGGUUUUGAAAAAUAAUGCCUGCACCGUGAGCGUCAUCUCCCUUUCUUUCUGCCCCUUCAUUUGCAUCAUCUAUCAAUUUAGUCAAUGACUCACUUCCUGUUUCAGAGUAUUAGGAUGACCCUAGGGACAUAUGUGCUAAAUAGUAUGCUUCUCUGAGAUUCAAUAGGCUAUUAGAAUCAAUUGGCAACACUUUAGACGGCCAUUUUGAAUUUCAUCAAUAAUCCACUUCCUGUUUUUGGCCACUAUAUCUAGGAUGCCUCAGGAUGACCCAAGGGUCACGUGUGCCAAACUUUAUGAUUUCUGGACAUUCUUUAUGUGUUUUUUUAGUAAACUGUCACCUGUUUAGGCGGCCAUUUUGAAUUUUGUCAAUAACUCACUUCCUGUUUGACAUUUUUUUGGGCACCCCUUCUAGGAUGUUUUGGGAUGACCUAAGGGACAUAUGUGCCAAAUUUCAUGCUUUUAUCCACCAUGUAACGAUUUUUCACCUAACAGACCCUACUAAAAUGUUUUCAACCCUAAAAAUAAAGCCCUUAUUAUCUUUUGCUGACAUAUAUUCAGCAAUGGUCUGUUAACAUCAAUGUACACUCACCGGCCACUUUAUUAGGUACACCUGUCCAACUGCUCGUUAACACUUAAUUUCUAAUCAGCCAAUCACAUGGCGGCAACUUAGUGCAUUUAGGCAUGUAGACAUGGUCAAGACAAUCUCCUGCAGUUCAAACCGAGCAUCAGUAUGGGGAAGAAAGGUGAUUUGAGUGACUUUGAACGUGGCAUGGUUGUUGGUGCCAGAAGGGCUGGUCUGAGUAUUUCAGAAACUGCUGAUCUACUGGGAUUUUCACGCACAACCAUCUCUAGGGUUUACAGAGAAUGGUCCGAAAAAGAAAAAAUAUCCAGUGAGCGGCAGUUCUGUGGGCGGAAAUGCCUUGUUGAUGCCAGAGGUCAGAGGAGAAUGGCCAGACUGGUUCGAGCUGAUAGAAAGGCAACAGUGACUCAAAUAACCACCCGUUACAACCAAGGUAGGCAGAAGAGCAUCUCUGAACGCACAGUACGUCGAACUUUGAGGCAGAUGGGCUACAGCAGCAGAAGACCACACCGGGUGCCACUCCUUUCAGCUAAGAACAGGAAACUGAGGCUACAAUUUGCACAAGCUCAUCGAAAUUGGACAAUAGAAGAUUGGAAAAACGUUGCCUGGUCUGAUGAGUCUCGAUUUCUGCUGCGACAUUCGGAUGGUAGGGUCAGAAUUUGGCGUCAACAACAUGAAAGCAUGGAUCCAUCCUGCCUUGUAUCAACGGUUCAGGCUGGUGGUGGUGGUGUCAUGGUGUGGGGAAUAUUUUCUUGGCACUCUUUGGGCCCCUUGGUACCAAUUGAGCAUCGUUGCAACGCCACAGCCUACCUGAGUAUUGUUGCUGACCAUGUCCAUCCCUUUAUGACCACAAUGUACCCAACUUCUGAUGGCUACUUUCAGCAGGAUAAUGCGCCAUGUCAUAAAGCUGGAAUCAUCUCAGACUGGUUUCUUGAACAUGACAAUGAGUUCACUGUACUCAAAUGGCCUCCACAGUCACCAGGGGCCUCAUGUAUCAACACUUGCGGCGCAAGAAAACCUUGCGUAAGCCAAAAUCGGCGCACAGGUCCAGAUUUAUCAUCGCGAAACGAGCGUCGGUUCCAGCGCUAAUCAACGCAAAGUCAGGAGGUGGUGUAGAAAUUGGCGUUGAGCCGAUACUUGCGUUGACUGUGAUUCGCACUUUGGCGACGCUGUGUGGCGGUGUUUGGUGACUCACUAUGUGACAAGCGUGCACCACAUCCCCGUGGCCGAGCAGCGCGUCGCCCCACAUGACGAACCAGCAGCAGACGGAGGGAUGCGAGCUGAUCCCUGCCGGGCCGCCGUCCUCGCGCGGGAGAAUCUCAUCGCCACAGUGUGAAUGGGUAAGAAGUGAAUACACAGUUCAAUGAGCCAAAUUAAUUUAUUUUCUCCACCAGACGCUCGAGGACAUUUACGAGCCGGUCCAGCCGCUCGUUGAUCCCCGCGACCCCCCGAUGAUUUCUUCCUGCGAUUGCAGGACCCCCUCCGCGAGGACCCUUCCACUGUGUCCGGGUGGUCCAGCAGAAGCGCCGCGGCUGGUGGACGCUCCACCGCUUGUCGGUGCGCUGAUGAUGAUGCUGGUGCUGGUGCUGGGGCCGGGGGCCGGGGUGGCCCGAAUGCCGCUGGUCCUGGCCGACGACUCCGAGCCGGCGGACGGGCUGCCGCGGGCCGGGGUUCCGCAAGCCGGCGACACGGCCGACACAUUAAUUUCUGUGACACAAUAAAAAUAUUGGUUCAUUUCAAUUCCUGCUUCUGUGUAUCUGUUGCAUUUACAUCUCUCUCCACGGUAUCAUAGGUAAUGUAAUCCAGUAUUUAGAGGUCAGUUAUGCACAUUACAGUUGUUUAUUGCAUAAAAAGUUAUCGAAAAAUGAAGUAAAGGGCGAAGAAUAAAUCACGUCUAAAAAUAGACUGAAUCCCGACGUUGAAAUGAAGUAUAAACUUAGACUAGACGUCUAAUAUACGUCUUUUGCUCAGUGGGAUGGCAAAGCAUGUGGACAUUUGUGUGACACGCCACUUACCCUAUAAUAAUAAUCGCAACCACCCGCUGCUCAAACGGCGUGAGGGUCUCCUCCCCCGGAACCCCACCUGUCUGGCCGGUACUCCUCCAGAGGGUAGCUGUACGCCGCUUGACCUCCACCUUGAGGUCCGACCACUUUAUUUUAAUCUCCGCGGGGGUGCGUGUCUCGCAACCCACCGCAUUCACCCUCUCGCAAACUUUCUCCCACUCCAAGCGUUUUUGUUUUGCACUGACGCCACUGGACAGGCUGCCAAACAAAACAGGCUGUCGCUCCUCCACCUCCUACACCAGCACCUCCACCUCACACGCCGUAAAUUUAGUUUUUCUUGUCAUUUUGUCUGCGUGCGAGGACAGGGAGACCCGAUUUAAAUAAAUCUGCAUAUUUAUAGAAGGGCGUAACGGGGGCUGGCCCAGUCACUCCGACAUCUGCGCUCAAUUCCACGCUGAUUGGGAUUUAUCAAGGAAACACACGUGGAUUUCGGCGCCCGCACACAUUGAUACAUACGGAUUUUUUUCAGCGUGACGGACCUUGCGUGCGCUCGUUUCUGGUAUGAGUUCCACGCAAGUAUUGAUACAUGAGGCCCCAGAUCUCAAUCCAAUAGAGCAUCUUUGGGAUGUGGUGGAACGGGAGAUUCGCAUCAUGGAUG